UUUUUACAUCUUCUGUUUUACAUCUCCAAAUUUGCAUCUUCUAUUGGAGAUGCUCUAAAUAAGGUUGUUAAUGAUAAUCUACUUUACCUUUGCGCAUGUCAUCUUAUUUCGAAUGUAGAUCAAUCCAUAAUUUGCAUUGUUAAGGGCGUCUCCAAUGGCAACCCGCAAAUUUCCUCCCACACCCAUUCACAGACAGGGGGACCAGUCUGUGGACAUGGAUGCAGGAGGCCGCCAUCCAACGCUGCCCGCAUACAUUUCAACAACAAUCCGCACAACCAGAUGAAAUUCGUUCAAACUUGGUCGGAUUUUCAUACAAACCGGACGAAGUUCACGCAAACACGACGAAUUUUUAGAUUGCAAACAUUUAGAACAAAAGAACCAUCCGACCCGACCCUGAACCUACCUACGGCGGCAUCUGUCGUCCAUGCCGUUGUCAUCCUUCACUGCUGUCGAGCACCGACGAUAAGACCACUGAAGUGAAGCUGUGGUCUCUGGCGAGGAAGAGUAGAACACGAGAGACGGACCGACCCACAUGGGACACAAGGCCCUGCCGCCUCCUGUGCCCUACUCAUCCUCGGAGGAGUCCGCGCAUUGUCCGUUGCUGGUGGACGUGAGGUCCAUGAUGGAAAUGGUGGCGCCCGCACUGUCGUCGUCCCACAUGGGCGCCUGAUGGUUCGUCGGCGGUGUGCAUGAGGCGAAGCUAGCGUUGUUCUCAUCCGCGAUCACCUGUAGCUGCGCCUCCGCGGCGGCAUUACAUGCUGCUCCGCGAUGAAGUUGGGGUUCAUCGCGGCCAUGGACGCCACGACCUCCUGGCUCACACACUCACCAUCGAUCUGGACCUCCGCCAGCCGGUGCUGCUCUAGCAACACCGACAAAGGCACCGACGUAGGAAGCUCCUCCGCCAUGGCGGCGUUGUAGUGCGCCUGCGCCAUGGUGAAGAUGGCAUGCAUAGGCGAUGGCUUCGGUGCGGUGUCGUCGGAGUCCGUCUCCAUCGUGGGGUCGUCCUCGUCGUCGGAGACCUCGGGCAAGCUGGACGGCAGGCCGGCCUCGAUCCGCCUGGUACAGCGGCUCUGCCAGGCGGCCGCAUGGCGCGGCCAACUCAUGCUUUAUCUCCGUCGAUGGGCUCUCCCACAGAGCGUUGCCGCCGGCUGUCAUGGCGAGUGUGGUGCAAGGGAGGAGGAUGUGGAGCGGCUUGUGUUGUGGCAUGGACUAGAGCGGGUGUGGACGCCUAUAAAUAGCGGAGUGCGUUGAGGCCAGGCGUCCGGGUGCGUCAAUGCACGUUGCCGGAGUGGGUUUCUCGGCCGGCGAGCCUGCUUAAUGGCGGCAUACGGACGAACGGGGCAUUGAACGGACGUGGUAAAUAUCCGUCCCGUCCCGUCCAGUAACGCUUCUUAGGCAUUGAACAUGCGUGAACACCAGGGACGCGUCGCGGGCGACGCCCUCGGCCGGUGCGCCGCUUCAAUGCCGGCGCCAGUUAAAGGUCGUGUCCGCUAUGUAGCCGGCUUCAAUGGGGAGCGACCGGCGGCAUGAAUGCGGGCAGCUGGCACCGGAAGAAAUACGCGCGGGCGAGGAAGGACGGUUUUGAGUGGGCCAGGGUGGUCAGAAGCAGGCAGUCCGGACGCACGCAAAGCCCCCACGUUUGUCUCCGGUUUGCGGGAGAAAGUGCGUCCGCAUGCCUUGUGGACGGAUGCAGGACCUCGGUGGAUGGCACGCGCGGUCCGGACGUAUGCAGGUGGUUCGAGGGUAGCUGCUGGAGAUGCCCUAAUACUAGUAUAUUCUUUUUGAAAAGGGUGCUAAUCUUAUCUUGACAGUGUUGAGGUGGGCUGGUAACAAAUGCAUUUUGGGUGCGAUCAUCUAUCCAACGGGCGCUGAAAAGUUGACCCGAAUAUUACCACUAGACCCUGCCAAAAGAACGAUGUCACAAUAAUACCCUCGCCGGAAGCAAAGCAGAAGCCCACUCGCAGAUAUUACAGGGGCCGUAUUGAAAACAAACUCCCCCAAAAUCCAUUCAUUACUUAACCGGCCUGUCCCCAAUCGCAGCACACUCCUCACCGCCACCUCCAAGCCCCCGGCGACGCCCCGCCUCGACCUCGCCGCCGCUCCAGCCCACGGUUCGCGGCUCCCCGGCCGCCGCCGCCGGAUUCGCCUCCUCGCCGUCGGGUGAAGUCGGUCAACCCUCGGCUCAGGCGCUUCGCAUCGCCCGCGCCCCCUCGGCGUCGGCUCGGGCCCGGGCCGCUCCCUCCUUCCUCGAAACCCUAGAUUCCGCCGCCCCACGCGCGGUGCGAUCGUGCGGCCCGCGGCCUCCCGCGAUGCCCAUAUAAGGAGGCCCCCUCUCCCCCCCGAGGCUCUCGACACAACCGCUCUCGCGCUCUAGGGUUUGCGCCGCCGCCGCCUCGAGGACAAUGGGACGCACGGUGGUUUCCGACGACGAAGGUACGCGAUUUCGUUGCCGAUUCCUGCGGUUUCGCGUGUUUUGGUGCCCUCGGCGGCGGUUUGUGCGCGUUUUCUGAUGGGAAAAGCUUGCGCUUCUGUUGGAACCCUAGAGGACGACUUCAUCGAGGCCGAGGAAGAGGACGAGCCGCGGCCGUCGCGGAGGGCCAGGGAUGAUGUCGACGAGCAGGACGACGAUGAGGACGAGGAGGAGGACGAUGAAGGUUAGUUUCUCCUAACGAUCUUUCCAUUACGUUUGCUUGCGCGAGGGAUUUGUUGGCUGGAGCUAUCCUUUCCUCUCGAUUGAGAUGCUUUUAUGUGCUGUGCGGUACUGUGUUUCGGGCGUUCUCUUGCUUGAUUUCUUAUUUCGAUUGGUUUUACUGUGUAUUACGAUGUUUUGCUAUCGAUUACAGUUUGCAGCAGUUGCCUUUUUCUAGUCGAAUCGCCUGUGAUUGUGUUCUCGAGCUAGUAUAGCAAUAAUUGGGUGACCUUGUUUGUGAGCAGAUGAGGGACAGAAUGAGUACGAGAAGGAUGGCUUCAUAGUGGAUGAUGCGGAUGAAGACGAGGAAGAGGAGGAGGAGGAGGCGAGAGCUAGUGAUGAUGAAAGACGCAAGAAGAAAAAGAAAAGAAAGAAGAAGAGGUAGUUGCUUUUUAUGCCUCGUCAUGAAACAGAGUGUCUUAUUCUUUAUGAGUUUCUAAACUGCAAGAAAUGUGGCCAGAGAGACGGAGGAUUUCGAGCUUGAUGAGGAUGACUACAUGUUGCUCCAGGAUAAUAACAUUACUGGCAUCACUCGUCCGAAGCCUCCUGUAUGCUUUAAGAUAAUCUUUGUGUCUGUUUUGGACUUCCAUGAGUUUUUGCAUGCUUCUCAGUAAUGUGCCUUCUCAUUUUGCUGACGGUAGGAAAAUAAGUUUAAGCGGUUGAAGAAGGCAGGACGGGAAUCUGAAAUGGAUGGGCGCUCUGGCUUCUCCGAUCAUGACGGAGCAGGAAAAAGCCGGACUGCUGAGGAGACAGUUCGUAGCUCCUUGUUUGGUAAUGAAGGUACCUGCUUCUGAAUCCUCUUCACUUUGCUUGUUUUCCAAUGCUGGAAGUUUCCUGUCUAAUUUUUAAUUUGCUGCAAUAUCAUUUGCUCAGAACCGUUUGAGGAGGAUUUUGUCGAGGAGGAUCAGCAGGUAGAUGAAGAUGAGGUUGGUGAAGAUGAUAUGGAUGAUGAAAUGGGCGAUUUCAUUGUGGACGAAGAGGAAAUCGAUGUGAAUGGCCAAGUUGUGAAGUAUGCUCUUAUGUUCCGUAUUGUGUGUUAAUGGUUCUCUAUCCAUGUGAAAUUAUUCAGACCUUAUAUUUGUUAUUAUUAUUAAAUGCACACAUGCUAUUGUACUGCAGAAGGAAGAAGGUUAAAAGAAAGCCUCUGCGACAAGCUGCAGGUGUAUCAUCAUCUGCGCUACAAGAGGCCCAUGAUAUAUUUGGGGAUGUUGAUGAGCUAUUAGCACUAAGAAAACAAGAGCUUGAGAGGGAUGCUAUUAAUUCCGGCGAGUUGAGAGGAAACAGGCUUGAAGAUGAGUUUGAACCAUUUAUUCUCGCAGAAAAGUAUAUGACACCAAAGGAUGAGCAGAUAAAAGAAACUGAUAUACCUGAGAGGAUCCAGGUAAGUUACCAGUUAGACAUGUUGGAUGUCUGUCUUGAUUUUGGUUUGUAAUGCGUAUCUGAUUCUUAAUUGCUUCUUCCUCAGCUGUCUGAAGAGUUAACUGGCCAUCCUAUAGAUGGUGAUGCAAAUAGUGAGGAGGAAAGUGUAUGGAUACACAACCAACUAACCGGGGAUGGAUUUCUGUCCCUUUUUGGCAAAGAGCAAGUGAACAGGGAGAUUCAUCAGAGCGACAUCGUGAAUGUCUUGAACAUGCUACAUACCCACAAAUUUGAAGUACGAAAAACUAUAGGAUCUCAUUGCAUAAUUUCUUAUGUUUGAUCUGCUGACUUGGUUAUUGUUUCACAUCAGAUUCCAUCUCUGUGCGUAAUUUCUUAUGUCUGAUGUGCUGACAUAGGUAUUGUUGCCUGUCAGGUUCCAUUCAUUGCAAUGUAUAGGAAGGAAAGUUGCCUGAGUCUGGUAAAAGAUAACGAUGCCAAUGAACAAGCAAAUGAAGAAGAGACGCGUAAAAUGAAGUGGCAUAAGGUAACUGACCAGUGUCCACUACUAGACAGGUGUUAGGCCCCCCUGAUUAUCAAGAUUUUACAAUUGCUGACACAGUUUGUCUGUUGUUUGUAGCUGCUUUGGGCUGUUCAGACCUUAGACAGAAAGUGGCUUCUUCUUCAGAAGCGCAAGGUUGCUUUGCAGAUUUAUUAUGAGAGAAGAUAUGAUGACGAGAAACGAAGAAUAGACGAUGUUACAAGGCAGGCACUUAAUCGACAACUCUACCACUCUAUCAUUGAUGCACUGAAGGAAGCAAAAUCAGAGAAAGAAGUGGAGGAUGUUGACGCGAAAUUCAAUUUACAUUUCCCUCCUGGUGAAGUUGAAGAAGUAGGUCAAUUUAAGCGACCAAAAAGGAAAUCCUUGUACAGUAUUUGUCACAAGGCAGGAUUGUGGGAGGUUGCUAACCAAUUUGGUCGGAGUGCUGAGCAAUUAGGCCAACAUCUAACUUUAACGAGGAUACCUGUACGUGAUCUAACUCACACUUUGCAUUAUCCUUCUAUGGAAGGAUACUGCAUAUGCAACCUAUCCUUUAUCUGCAUAUAUGACAUUCUGUCCUGGCUAAAUCUAUUGUACCCGUGACACCUUUUCUGCUUCUGCUGCUUUCAGGAAGCGGGUGAGCUUGACAGUGGGAAAGAUUCUCCUGAAGAUGUUGCUGCAAAUUUCACAUGCGCAAUGUUUGAAACGUCACAAGAUGUCCUUCGGGGUGCCAGACACAUGGUACCAACAUCUUACAAGUUUAACCAGUCCUCAUAGGAAGCUAGGCUAUUCAUUUCAUCUGACUUGAUCCAGUUUCAUUUAUUUUUAUCUUAUCAGGCAGCAGUUGAGAUCGGUUGUGAGCCUAUUGUAAAAAAGCAUAUCAGGGGUAUCUUCAUGGAUAAAGCAGUUGUAUCAACAAAGCCCACACCUGAGGGCAGUUCGGUCAUAGAUACUUACCACCAAUUAUCAGGUGUGGAGUGGCUGCAAGAGAAACCACUAAGCAAGUUUGGAGAUGCACAGUGGCUUCUUAUUCAGAAAGCAGAGGAAGAAAAGCUUCUCAAGGUUACCAUAACAUUGCCAGAGGAUGCAAAGAAAGCGCUCAUGUCUGAGGCUCGUGAGAAUUACUUAAGUGACUGUGUCAGCAAGUCUGCACAACUGUGGGAUGAGCAACGGAAGAUGAUACUGGAUGAUGCCUUCUUGAAUUUUCUAUUUCCAGCAAUGGAAAAGGAAGCUCGAUCACUGUUGACAGCAAAAGCCAAAUGUUUUCUGUCUAUGGAAUAUGGGAAACAGUUCUGGGACAAGGUUUCUGUUGCUCCUUGGAAGAAGAAGGAUGCGGACAAGAAGGAUGCGGACAUUGAUCUGGAUGAUGAGUCAGAGUUAAGAGUAAUGGCCUGCUGCUGGGGUCCUGGGAAGCCAGCAACCACAUUUGUAAUGCUAGACUCAUCAGGAGAAUUGGUUGAUGUUCUGUAUGCUGGUUCUAUUAGUCUUAGAUCUCAAGGUGUUGCUGAGCAGCAGCGUAAGAGAAAUGACCAGCAGAGGGUUCUGAAGUUCAUGACUGACCAUUCGCCACAUGUUGUGUGUGUAGGAGCUUCGAAUUUGAACUGCAGACAACUCAAGGAUGAUAUUUAUGAGGUAUUAUUUUAUUUGUUUGCAAGUGAAUUAUGGCUGUUAUUGUUUCUGUUCAUAAGUAUAUGCUUGAUGUUUGUUCUCCUUUCAUCUGUUCGUUAUUUCGGCUGUCAUAAUGUAUCACCAUGUCCGGUCACGACCACAUGUGAUCAGUUAUCGUUGCCAAUGCAGAAAUCAUUAUUGUUGCUCUUCUUUUGUCAAUUGCAUGCAAGCAUAUUUUUCUCCUACUGUGAUGUGUAGACACAGAAAUGCCAUCACGUGUUCUGCUAGGGGAUUCCCUGGGUUGGCAAUUCCUUCUAAUGCUUACUGGCACUCUUCCAUCAUAAAAACUAGAGGAUACCCCCGCGUUGCUGCGGGAAUUGGUUGAUGAAAAUUUCGGUUGGUAACAUGAGAACCAAAAUAAAAUAUACAUAUGACUUGUUAUAUUUGAUAGUGUAGAGUUGUAACAAUAUUUAUUGAAUAUAAGUAUUGAAUGGAAAACAUCAUCCCAUGCAUAGUUGAAUGUUGUGGUGGGUCUUCCUAGCAUGAUUGCAUGUUGAGGUGGGCAUUAUCCCCUUCCUGGUUGUAUGAUGAGGUGGCAUGCUUUCAAGUUUGACUCCCUUAGGUAUAUAGGAUUCCGACAGUUGUUAUUGGCUGGGUGCUCGCUCCAGUAUUUAUAUUCAAAUGAAUAUUUCCUGUCAUUCUGUUCAGUUUCUUAUUUGGCAUGAAUGUGGAUAGAUAGCGUCAAUAAAAUAAUGUGUUUGCUUUGUAUAGGUUAUUUUCAAAAUGGUGGAAGAUCACCCAAGAGAUGUGAACCCACAAAUGGAAAAUUUCAGCAUUGUCUAUGGUGAUGAAUCUGUGCCUCGCUUGUACGAGAACUCUCGAAUAUCUUCAGAUCAGCUGCCUGCCCAGUCAGGUAUAGUACAACAUGUUGAUUUACUGUUUGCUCUUUUGGUCACGAACUUUUCUAAAUAUGUACUUUUAAUUAUGUAUAGCUAUCGUGAAGCGUGCUGUGGCCCUUGGUCGGUACUUGCAAAAUCCUUUGGCGAUGGUUGCAACACUUUGUGGACCCGGGAAAGAGAUACUGUCAUGGAAACUACACCCCCUUGAACAGUUCCUUACUCCCGAUGAGAAGUAUGAAGUUGUUGAGCAAGUAAUGGUCGAUGCGACAAAUCAGAUCGGUUUUGAUGUUAAUCUUGCUGCUAGCCAUGAGUGGCAUUUUUCCACUUUGCAGUUUGUUGCUGGUCUGGGACCGCGCAAAGCUUCAGCUUUGCAGAAGGAGUUGGUAAGAGAGGGAUCCAUUUUUAGCCGCAAGGAGCUGGUGAAACCCUUAGGCAGGAAAGUAUUCAUGAAUGCGUCUGGGUUUUUACGCGUCCGACGAAGUGGUGCUGCUGCAGCUAGUGCCCAGAUCAUUGAUCUUCUUGAGGAUACAAGGAUCCAUCCUGAAUCAUAUGCGUUGGCGAAGAAUUUGGCCAAGGAUGUCUGUGCCGCGGAUGGACUUGAAGCGAAUGAGAUGGAUGAUGAUGAGCAAGAGAUGGCAAUUGAGCAUGUGAGAGAGAAGCAGGAUCAACUUGACCGUCUUGACAUAGAUGAAUACAGCAGAAGCAUCGGAGAUGAUAAGAGAGAAACGUUGUUAGACAUAAAGUUGGAGCUAAAGUGUGGUUUCAAAGAUCGGAGGACCCCUUAUGCCGAGCCAAGUCCAGAUGAGGAGUUCUGGUUGCUUUCUGGUGAAACUGAGGACAACAUAUCAGAUGGAAGGAUUGUUCAAGUAACUGUUCGGCAUAUACAAGAUAACCGAAUAAUUUGCACCUUUGAUUCUGGGUUGAAAGCCAUAGUUAUGGGAGACAACUAUUCUGAUGAUGGCUUUGAUCUAGAAUCACUGCAGUUACAUGAAGGCGAUGUAUUAACUGGCAAAAUUAAGAAUGUGAAUAAAAAUAGGUUCAUAGUUUACCUAACAUGCAAGCAGAGUGAAAUGAGUAGAUGGCCAUUCUCGAGAAGUAACCAUGAUCCAUACUAUCGUGCACAAAAGGUGGUUCUGACCCAGGAUGACAAGGCUCGGAAACAAAAGGAAGCGAAGAAACAUUUCAAGCCCAGGAUGAUUGUUCAUCCUCACUUUCAGAAUUUGACGGCGGAAGAGGCAAUGCAGGUGUGUUGUCCUGUUGAAUAGUUCUUUUCUGUCCCUUUACUUUCUUUAUUAACUUCUUUCCCUUUCUGUAAUAGUAUCUAAUCUUAACUCAUUGAAACAGUUCCUGGGGGACAAAGAGCCUGGCGAGAAAGUCAUUCGGCCUAGCUCUAGGGGCCCAUCAUUUCUAACACUGACCCUGAAGAUCUUUGAUGGUGUCUUUGCACACAAGGAGAUAACCGAAAGUGGAAAAGAUCAUAAAGAUAUUACAAGUUUGCUUCGCCUCGGAAAAACACUGACCAUUGGUGAUGAAACUUUUGAAGAUCUUGAUGAGGUUGGUUUACAUACAAGAUGAUUUCCAUAGCAAUUUUUCUGUAGACAUCAGUUUGCAGACAAUAGCCAAAAUACCACUAGUUAGAACCGAACUUGCCAAAAUACCACUAUGAAAAACCGACUUUCCAAUAUAGCAUUAGUUUCAGUUUUCUCUAUCCAAAAUACCACUAGUGGCUAACUGAGACUAACACCAUCCAAAAAGGACUUGCAUGACCUUACCUCUUCACAUCCCAAGCUUAAAUUUUAUUCACAGAAGAGCACCUACAGGGCAACAUUUCAGCACCAAAUUAACAUGAAUAUAUCAACAUAUAACAACAGACUAAAAACCAUCUCACUUUGCAUCAUUUAACAACAAUAUAGCAACAGAGGAACCGGUCGAGGUAAUCUUGGCAAUGCCAAGAAGAGGGCGGCUUAGCAGGUUAGAGUUCCUGCAGCGGGCACCAAUGGAGGCACUGGGAGGCCCCAGGCAGGCAAGCAGCAGGGAGGCAGGAUGAGGCAGAGCAGGGCCGAUUGGUGCCGGAGCUGAGGCGUUGGAUGGCCCAGCUACGCGCCCGUGGGCGGGAUCGACAAGCGCCGGGCUUCCCAGCCGCGCGCCUGCGGGCAGGAUCAACGGGUGUCUGGCUUCCCAGCCACGCGCCCAGGGAGGAGGUCGGCGAGUGGAGAGGCUACGGGGUGAGUGUCGCAAAGGGUUAGAGGGAGAGAGGGGCUGCAGGGAGGCGCCGCCAUGGCUCUCUGCUGGGUGUGGGAGGGGCUGGAGAGGAAACGUGAUUAGGGUUAGCUGCUAUGGGGGUAAAUUUGGAAUACUCAAAAAGCUGAUCCCUAACGGUUUGACUAACAGAAAAAGUUUGACAAUUGACGGAAGUGCUAUUUUGACAAUGAAAACUGAGCUUGGAGUGCUAUAUUGGCAAGUCGGUUUUCUAUAGUGGUAUUUUGGCAAGUUCGGUUCUGACUAGUGGUAUUUUGGCUAUUGUCUUGUUCCAUUUCUGUUGUAGCAGUCAAGAUUGGCAUCUGUUUUCACUUUUGGUAAAUGUAUGUUUCUUUCCUUGUACAAAUAUGCAGGUAAUAGACAGAUAUGUGGAUCCAUUGGUAGGCCACCUGAAAAGCAUGCUCUCUUAUCGCAAAUUCAGGAAAGGGUUAAAAGGCGAAGUUGAUGAUAUGUUGAGGGCCGAGAAAUCAGAGAAUCCUAUGAGAAUAGUCUAUUGUUUUGGCAUAUCUCAUGAACAUCCAGGCACCUUCAUAUUAUCUUACAUCAGGAGUACAAACCCACAUCAUGAGUAUGUUGGGUUAUACCCAAAGGGCUUCAGAUUCCGGAAGAAAGAUUUUGACAGCAUUGAUCGUCUUGUGUCAUAUUUUCAAAAACAUAUUGACAAACCACCACCUGAUGCUGGCCCAUCAAUGCGAAAUGUUGCGGCAAUGGUACCUAUGAAAAAUUCAGCUUGGGGUUCUGGUGGCGCGAAUGACGGAAGGAGGGGAGAUGGUGAUAAUGAUAGGGACAGACACUUUUCUGGAAGAUCAGGUCAGUCCUUGAAUGUGUUUGCUUUUUGCAAUACUUGGUUAUCAAGCACAUCUGCAUUCAAUUGUGUCGUCAUCGUUACCACUGACAUUUGCUUGCAUAGUGUAUCUUCGUGUCGAUGACCUGUCCUCAUUUUCUUACUGGAAUUAUUGGAACCAUAUUAUGGCUAGUUUUGUUGAAGCCUGUACCCACAAAGCAACUGUUUUAAACGAAUUACUGGAACCACAUUAUAUGGCUAGUUUCAUAUAAGUUUUGUUGAUUCUGAUGAAGCAACUGUUUUGAACUUCGUGUCACGGAAAAUAAUCUGAUCUCCCCUGUUCUCAGUGGUUUUCAAACCUACCCUGUAUUAGUUUUGCUGGUCUUAUUCUUGUUCUGUCUCCCGUGUUUGUUGAUCACCAUCGCUUCAUAGAGUUGUCACUAAGAUCCUGCCAAACAAAUAAGAUGUUAAAGGAUGUUCAGAAGUACGCUAUCAAUCUUAAUUUGUCAUUUCUUCUCCUAAGCAGGAGGCAGGUUUGAUUCAAGGAACAGUUCUGGCGGCCGUGGACGUGGACGGGGUCGGGGUCGAGGUAACUUUGGCAGUGAUGGUGAUGGUGGCGGUGGUGGAGGAUGGACUGAUAACAUAGGCAGUGGGGGAGGUGCGUGGGGCACUGGUGGAGGAUCUGGAGGCGGGGAUGCUGGAUGGGGUGGUGGGGGCGACAGCAACCGUGGUGGCGGUGGGGAUAAUGGCUGGGGCGCACCUGCUUCUGCCGCUGCCACUGACGGUGGCGCAGGAGGCUGGGGUACACCUGCUGCCGCUGCUGCCACUGACGGUGGCGCCGGAGGCUGGGGAGCAGCUACUACUCCUGGUGCUGCUGGUGACGACUCAGGAUGGGGCAGCGCCAAGAAGGCCGUCCCAGCACAGGAUUCUGGAGGUGGGUGGGGGUCUGGCGGUGGGGGCUGGUGAAGGAUAUUUGCUUUGCAGCAUAAACCAUAAACUACCUACCGUAGAUCUAUCAAGUGGAAACUUGUUUUUAUGUUUGAACCCUGUUAUGCUUCUGCCUAGUGCUGUCGAUGGGUGAAAGUUGGCACUGUUUUGGGACUUGGUAAUCUGCUAGUUGCUGCUGCUGGUCUUGUUAUAUUCUGGACGGCCUUAUGUUUCAAUGCAUGUACAGUUUCCAGACAUUUGGUAUCUUGGUUCUUGGUAGUCUCGGUAUUCCUAUGAUUGAUGUCUAUGUUUAAUUACGCUUGUCAUCGUGUUAGUUUGCCUAGUGGUGUCGAUGUGUAUAACAUGCGCAGUUGUAGCUUCAGAUAAAUAAUUUACUAGUACAUCACAAGUUUGAGCUUACAUGGGUGCUUUGAUGUGGCUACAGCACUUAUUUUAGGAAGCAUUUUGCAUUAUUGUUCCGCGUCGGCGCACGAGCCUUUCAGUGCUUCGAAUCCCUCAUUCCUGCGUGCCCGGGAUCUAUCUAUCAGGACAUGGCCAUGCGCUCGUUACUUGCUGCUGCCAUCCGUUAGGCUAUGUACAAAAUACCCCUAAACCGCCUCGAAUCCUCUUGAGAGAACGAGGCCUUAUGCAAGUUUGUCCCGCCUGGUUCCCCCGCCUCGUUGGGACCUGAACGGAGACGCAGCACUAAUGCGUGGUUCUGCUUUAUCAUCUUUUUUUAUAGUUGAGGUCCAAAUCCAGCCCUCGGUUGUCAGGCAAGAGCCCCUAUGCAUAAGCAGAUGGUCACAAAAGGUUAUUCGCAAAAAAAGAAAAACAAGAGAAAGAAGGUCGCCGCAAAAGGUGUAGUGAAUGAGAAGUUUUUGUACCCGGUCAUGAUACAACUGGUUAGUAAAAAUGGAAUGUUUUGUGUCAAAUUUUGUGGGACAAUCUUCAGACUCUGUUUGCCAGAAAUAUUUUGGAUGGCACAGUAACAGACCUGUCACAAAUCAGAUCGUCGAUACAGGCUUUUCCCUUUUGGGGUGUGAGAUACAAGCUUUCUCUGAAACAACAUAUUAUCUCCCUAUGGUAUUUGUAGCUUUCCGACUUAUGGAAGCUUUUUCUUUUGUUGCUAAAAUUUAUGUACAAAUGGGUAUCUCAACACCACAGCCUUGGCGUUCAUGAUACCCUCGACCGCACACACAAUUAUUUAUCUAUUCUAUCCUACAUUGAGGAUCACAAAUAGAGCGUCGAAAAGAUCAAAUCAUCCAACCGCCAUCCUUGCAUCAUUAUUUUUUGCAUGGUAGUACGUGUUUCAUUCACAACAUAAAGAUCAUAGUACAACUACAAACCACGUAGACAUCGACAUAACAAAAUUGGAAAGACAUCAGAACGCCUUUGCACAAAGGACCACCACACCAAGGAAAAUUACAAUCAAGACCGACCUCCAAGGUGGCUCAUCAAAGGUGAAGUCAUCGCCAUUGAAUGAAUCAGAUCGGGGCGAUAGCCUGGACAUGCGAACUCUAGAUUUGGCACUCCCGCAUGACUAAGACACUGGAGGAGGAAACCAUAUUUGCUAACCGUCAACUACGAACCCAACACAAGAUCCGUCUUUCAGAUGUCGUUGAUGCUAACCACUAUCCGUAUCCAUUCCUCGACUAUCUCCCAAGCCCCACAUCCGUGCUAGAGCAGAUGCUGUCGCAACGGAGGAGCCCGAUGGCACAAGUCCACCAUAAGGAUGCCGCCGCCGCCACGACAUCCCUGUUUGAACAGGCUAGUUCCCAAAUCCAUCAUCAAACAUUGACUUGUUUGCCUCAUAGGGGGGAAUUGGAGCUUCUUUAUUCAGUGUCACCUUCGCCGCUGCCGAAGUCAAAACGUGUAAUGACUCAAAAUCUAGGCCACUGGGGCCCUAAAACAUAAACCUACCCAAUCUGCACGCGCGGCAUCCGGUGACCCUCCUCACCACUACCGACAGAGAGGUCAUCAGAGGACGGGGGCCGCUGUAGGACGGCGCCGGAAGGCUGGCUUCUCCUGGCGGCGGCUAGGGUUCCAGUCUGCACACACCAAAGGAAAAACAUAUAUCUUCUCUUUGUACCUGCACCAGUCUAAAUGUAUAAUUUUUUUGAACACAAUACGAUCGAAGUCGCUCACAUACACGAGCAUACUCUCACACCUAUGAACGCACGCACACACAUCCUACCCCUAUGAGCAUUGAGAGACUGAGCCAACAUGGCAUCUUGAGUUUUUGUGGAGUCAUCAUAGGCGCCUCGCAGUCGAUGGAAACGUCUACUUCCACCGAAUGUAAGCCUAGGAUUUGAACCCUGGUGGGCUAGGGAUACCACUGUCUUCCUAACCAUCCAACCAUAGGUUGGUUUGCUUUUAGUAACUAGUUCUCUCAAAUUGUAUUUCCACUACAAGAUACACUCUGUUCUCUCUCUCAACCGGGAUUACAAGUGAUACAGGAAGGAGGAAGGCAAAGUAGAUGCCGUGCCUUGAUCCAAGCCAAGAUGUCUUUCCCUCUCGAUCUCCUGGCUUUAAGUAGUGUUAACCCACUCGGGCCCAUGAAUCUCCUGUUGGGUUGCUUGAUCCUCGUUGGCCUUGCAAUGGCGCGCACCUCUCCUUGAUUGGUCCACUUGUCAUCCUUUCCUGCUGGCGUGGAUGAGACUACUGCCAUGGCAGCGCUUUUGCCGCCGCACGUUUAGUUGCCAUGGCAGUGUUCUUGUCAUUCCCGCCCAGUGGCUUGUUUGGGAUGCUAACAUCCCCCCUCCUUGACCCGCGCGGCUUGCCCCCAAGCCGAUAAUUGAGGAAAGCGAUGAUAAAGCGAGAGAGCAUCCUCCCAUGUGGCAUCGAGAAUGUCAGGAUCGGACCAACAAACCAAGAGUUGCUCGUGGCAGCCGGAGGGAGUGCGUCGCCAUCGGCUGUUCAAAAUUUCAAAUAGAACAAAGGUGCCAUCAGAUGGAAUGGGUAAGUCCGAACAAGUAGUCAUAUCUGGUGUCAAGUCUUCUCUUAGUUGGGACACAUGAAAAAUAGGGUGAACUUUGGAAGUGGCUGGCAAAUUCAGCUCAUACAUGAUGACCCACAAGUAUAGGGAUCAAUCGUAGUCCUUUCGAUAAGUAAGAGUGUCGAACCCAACGAGGAGCAGAAGGAAAUGACAAGCGGUUUUCAGUAAGGUAUUUUCCGCGAGCACUGAAAUUAUCGAUAACGAGUAGUUUUGUAGCAAGGUAAUUCGUAAAGGGUAACAAGUGUAACAAAAGUGCAACAAGGUGGCCCAAUCCUUUUUAUAGCAAAGGAUAAGCCUAGACGAACUCUUAUAUAAAGCAAAGCGCUCCCGAGGACAAAUGGGAAUUAUCGUCAAGUUAGUUUUCAUCAUGCUCAUAUGAUUCACGUUCGUUACUUUGAUAAUUUGAUAUGUGGAUGGACCGAUGCUUGGGUGUUGUCCUUACUUGGACAAGCCUCCCACUUAUGAUUAACCCCUCUCGCAAGCAACCGCAAUUACGAAAGAAGAAUUAAGAUAAAUCUAACCAUAGCAUUAAACAUGUGGAUCUAAAUCAGCCCCUUAAGAAGCAACACAUAAACUAGGGUUUAAGCUUCUGUCACUCUAGCAAGGGAGCCUAGGGCAGGCGGUCCUAUAGGUAAGGAAAGGGGGCGCCUAAGGCAAGGGAGCCGCCACCCCCCCUCCUGCCUUCUCCACCCUCCUAGGAAGGAAAGGGGGGGGGAGGGCAGGCCGCUGGCCCCCUUGGGGCGUCCUAGGCUGCCUCCCCUCCUCCCCCACCUAUAUAUAUGAGAGGAGGGAGAGGGGCAACACACCUGAAGGAAAUAUGCCCUAGAGGCAAUAAUAAAGUUGUUAUUUUAUAUUUUCUUAUUCAUGAUAAAAGUUUAUUAUUCAUGCUAGAAUUGUAUUGAUUGGAAACCUAAAUACAUGUGUGAAUACAUAGACAAACACUGUGUCCCUAGUGAGCCUCUACUUGACUAGCUCGUUGAUCAAAGAUGGUUAAGGUUUCAUAACCAUGGACAUGAGUUGUCAUUUGAUAACGGGAUCACAUCAUUAGGAGAAUGAUGUGAUGGACAAGAACCAUCCGGUAGCUUAGCAUAAUGAUCAUUCAGUUUUAUUGCUAUUGCUUUGUUCAUGUCAAAUACAUAUUCCUUCGACUAUGAGAUUAUGCAACUCCCGGAUACUGGAGGAAUGCCUUAUGUGCUAUCAAACAUCACAACGUAACUGGGUGAUUAUAAAGAUGCUCUACAGGUAUCUCCGAAGGUGUCUGUUGAGUUGGCACAGAUCAAGAUUAGGAUUUGUCACUCCGAGUAUCGAAGAGGUUUCUCUGGGCCCUCUCGGUAAUACACAUCAUAAGCUUACAAGCAAACGACUAAGGAGUUAGUUACGAGGUGAUGUAUUAAGGAAUGAGUAAAGAGACUUGAUGGUAAUGAGAUUGAACUAGGUAUGAAGAUACUGGCGAUCGAAUCUCGGGCAAGUAACAUACCGAUGGACAAAGGGAAUUACGUAUGUUGUCAUAACAGUUCGACCGAUAAAGAUCUUCGUAGAAUAUGUAGGAGCCAAUAUGAGCAUCCAGGUUUCGCUAUUGGUUAUUGACCGGAGAGGUGCCUCGGUCAUGUCUACAUAGUUCUCGAACCCGUAGGGUCCGCACACUUAACGUUCGAUGACGAUAUAAUAUUAUAUGAGUUAUGUGAUUUGGUGACCGAAUGUUGUUUGGAGUCCCGGAUUAGAUCACAGACAUGACGAGGAGUCUCGAAAUGGUCGAGAGGUAAAGAUUGAUAUAUAGGACGAUGGUAUUCGGACACCAGAAGUGUUCCGGAGGGUACCAGGUACAUAUCGGGUCACGGGAAGGGGUUCCGGGCAUCCCCGGCAAAAGAUAUGGGCCUUAUGGGCCAAGAGGGGAAAUGCACCAGCCACAAGGGGCUGGUGCGCCCCCCAUAUGGGCCGUCCAAGGUGGAGAAGGAAAGGGGAAGGAGGAAAGGAAAGGGGAAGGAGGAAAGGAAAGAAAGGGAAUAGGAUUCCCCCUUCCUUCCCCUCCCCCCUCUUUCCUUCCCCCUCCGAUAUAUAUGGCAGGGGAGGGGGGCUUGGGAGGAGACCAAGUAGGAUUCGGUCCUACUUGGGGCGCCUCAUGGCCUCUUCCCUCCCCCUCCCACCUAUAUAUAUGUGGGGGGCAUCCCUAGCACACCCCAGACAAUUGCCUAGCCGUGUGCGGCGCCCCCCUCCACAGUUUACACCCCGGUCAUAUUCUCACGAUGCUUAGGCGAAGCCCUGCGAGGAUCACUUCACCAUCACCGUCACCAUGCCGUCGUGCUAGCGGAACUCAUCUACUACCUCGACGUCUUGCUGGAUCAAGAAGACGAUGUACGUCAUCGAGCUGAGCGUGUGUAGAACGCGGAGGUGUCGUACGUUCAGUACUUGAUCGGUUGGAUUGCGAAGAACUUCGACUACAUCAACCGCGUUGUUAAACGCUUCCGCUUACGGUCUACAAGGGUACGUAGACACACUCUCCCCUCGUUUCUAUGCAUCUCCAUGGAUGGAUCAUUGCAUGUGCGUAGAAUUUUUUUUGUUUUCCAUGCUACGUUUCCCAACGGUGGCAUCCGAGCCAGGUCUAUGCGUAGAUGAUAUGCGCGAGUAGAACACAAAGAGUUGUGGGCGGUCAUAGUCAUACUGCUUACCACCAACGUCUUAUUUUGAUUCGGCCGUAUUGUGGGAUGAAGCGGCCCGGACCAACCUUACAUGUCCACGCACAUGAGACUGGUUCCACCGACAAACAUGCAACUAGUUUUGCAUAAAGGUGGCUGGCGGGUGUCUGUUUCUCCUAUUUAGUUGAAUCGAAUUUGACUGCGCCCGGUCCUUGAAGAAGGUUAAAACAACAAACUUGAUGAAACACCGUUGUGGUUUUGUGCGUAGGUAAGAAUGGUUCUUGCUAAAAGCCCGUGGCAGCCACGUAAAACUUGCAACAACAAAGUAGAGGACAUCUAACUUGUUUUUGUAGGGCAUGUUGUGAUGUGAUAUGGUCAAGACAUGAUGUGAUAUACGUUAUUGUAUGAGAUGAUCAUGUUUUGUAAAAGUUAUCGGCAACCGACAGGAGCCUUAUGGUUGUCUCUUUAUUGUAUGAAUUGCAAACGCCAUGUAAUUGCUUUACUUUAUCACUAUGCGUUAGCGAUAGUUGUAGAAGAAAUAGUUGGCGAGACGACCACGACGCAACGAUGGAGAUCAAGGUGUCGAGCCGGUGAAGAUGGAGAUCAUGACGAUGCUUUGGAGAUGGAGAUCAAAAGCACAAGAUGAUGAUGGCCAUAUCAUGUCACACAUUUUGAUUGCAUGUGAUGUUUAUCUUUUAUGCAUCUUAUAUUGCUUAGUACGGCGGUAGCAUUAUAAGAUGAUCCCUUAACUAAAUUUCAAGGCAUAAGUGUUCUCCCUGAGUAUGCACUGUUGCGACAGUUCGUCAUGUUGAGACACCACCUGAUGAUCGGGUGUGAUAGACUCUACGUUCACAUCAACGGGUGCAAGACAGUUUUGCACAUGCGGAAUACUCGGGUUAAACUUGACGAGCCUAGCAUGUACAGACAUGGCCUCGGAACACUGGAGAUCGAAAGGUCGAACGUGAAUCAUAUAGUAGAUAUGAUCAACAUAGAGAUGUUCACCAUUGAUGACUACCCCAUCUCACGUGAUGAUCGGACAUGAGUUAGUUGAUUUGGAUCACGUAUCACUUAGAUGACUUGAGGGAUGUCUAUUUAAGUGGGAGUUAUUUAGUAAUUUGAUUAAUUGAAUUUAAUUUAUCAUGAACCUAGUCUUAAUAGUUUUGCAUAUCUAUGUUGUAGAUCAAUAGCUCGCGAUAUAGCUCCCUUAUUUUUUGAUAUGUUCCUAGAGAAAAAUAAGUUGAAAGAUGAUAGUAGCAAUGAUGCAGACUAGGUCCGUGAUCUGAGGAUUAUCCUCAUUGCUGCACAGAAGAAUUGUGUCCUUUAUGCACCGCUAGGUGACAGACCUAUUGCAGGAGCAGAUGCAGACGUUAUGAAUGUUUGGCAAGCUCGAUAUGAUGACUACUUGAUAGUUCAGUGCACCAUGCUUUACAGUUUAGAACCGGGACUUCAAAAACGUUUUGAACGCCACGGAGCAUAUGAGAUGUUCCAAGAGCUGAAAUUGGUAUUUCAGACUCAUGCCCGUGUCAAGAGGUAUGAGACCUUUGACAGUACUUUGCCUACAAGAUGGAGGAGAAUAGCUCAGCUAGUGAGCAUGUGCUCAGAAUAUCUGGGCACUACAAUCGCUUGAAUCAAGUGGGAGUUAAUCUUCCAGAUAAGAUAGUGAUUGACAGAGUUCUCUAGUCACUAUCACCAAGCUACUAAAACUUCGUGAUGAGCUAUAAUGUGCAAGGGAUAACGGAAAGGAUUCCCGAGCUCUUCGCGAUGCUGAAUCGGAGAAGGUAGAAAUCAAGAAAGAGCAUGAAGUGUUGAUGGUUAACAAGACCACUAGUUUCAAGAAAAGGGCAAAGGAAAAGAAAGGGAACUUCAAGAAGAAUGACAAGCAAGUUGCCACUCCCGUGAAGAAGCCCAAAGCUAGACCUAAGCCUGAAACUAAGUGCUUCUACUGCAAAGGGAAUGGUCACAUGAAGCGGAACUACCCCAAAUACUUGGCGGAUAAGAAGGAUGGCAAAGUGAACAAAUGUAUAUUUGAUAUACAUGUUAUUAAUGUGUACUUUACUAGUGUUCAUAGUAACCCCAGGGUAUUUGAUAUCGGUUCAGUUGCUAAGAUUAGUAACUCGAAACAAGAGUUGCAAAAUGAACAGAGACUAGUUAAGGGCGAGGUGACAAUGUGUGUUGGAAGUGAUUCCAAGGUUCAUAAGAUCACCAUCGCACACUCCCUCUACCUUCGGGAUUAGUGUUGGACCUAAAUAAAUGUUAUUUAGUGUUUGCGUUGAGCAUGAAUAUGAUUGGAUCAUGUUUAUUGCGAUACAAUUAUUCAUUUUAGUCAGAGAAUAAUUGUUGUUCUAUUUACAUGAAUAAAACCUUCUAUGGUCAUACACCCAAUGUAAAUGGUUUAUUGAAUCUCGAUCGUAGUGAUACACAUAUUCGUAAUAUUGAUGCCAAAAGAUGCAAAGUUGAUAAUGAUAGUGCAACAUAUUUGUGGCACUGUCGUUUAGGUCAUAUUGGUAUAAAGCGCAUGAAGAAACUCCAUACAGAUGGAUUUUUGGAAUCACUUGAUUAUGAAUCAUUUGAUACUUGUGAACCAUGCCUCAUUGGCAAGAUGACUAAAACUCCGUUCUCCGAAACAAUGGAGCGAACCAAUGACUUAUUGGAAAUAAUACAUACUGAUGUAUGUGGUCCGAUGAGUGUUGAGGCACGCAGCGGGUAUCGUUAUUUUCUGACCUUCAGAGAUGAUUUGAGAAGAUAUGGGUAUAUCUACUUAAUGAAACACAAGUCUGAAACAUUUGAAAAGUUCAAGGAAUUUCAGAGUGAAUUGGAGAAUCAUCGUAACAAGAAAAUAAAGUUUCUACGAUCUGAUCGUGGAGGCGAAUAUUUGAGUUACGAGUUUGGCCUUUGUUUAAAACAAUGUGGAAUUGUUUCACAACUCACGCCACCUGGAACACCACAGCGUAAUGGUGUGUCCGAACUUCGUAACCGUACUUUAUUAGAUAUGGUGCAUUCUAUGAUGUCUCUUACCGAUUUACCACUAUCGGUUUGGGGUUAUGCAUUAGAGACAACUGCAUUCACGUUAAAUAGGGCACCGUCUAAAUCCAUUGAGACGACACCGUAUGAACUAUGGUUUGGCAAGAAACCUAAGCUGUCAUUUCUUAAAUUUGGGGAUGUAAUGCUUAUGUCAAAAGACUUCAGCCUGAUAAGCUCGAACCCAAAUCAGAGAAGUGCGUCUUCAUAGGAUACCCUAAGGAUACAAUUGGGUACACCUUCUACCACAGAUCCGAAGGCAAGAUCUUUGUUGCUAAGUUUGGAUCCUUUCUAGAGAAGUAGUUUCUCUGAAAAGAAGUGAGUGGGAGGAAAGUAGAACUUGAUGAGGUAAUUGUACCUUCUCUCGAAUUGGAAGGUAGCACAUCACAGAAAACCGUUCCUGUGAUGCCUACACCAACUACAGAGGAAGCUAAUGAUGAUGAUCAUGAAACUUCAGAUCAAGUUACUACUGGACUUCGUAGGUCGACUAGAGCAUGAUCCGCACCAGAGUGGUACGGUAAUCCUGUUCUGGAAGUCAUGUUACUAGACCAAGGCGAACCUACGAACUAUGAAGAAGCUAUGUGUUGGAAAUAUGCCCUAGAGGCAAUAAUAAAUGGUUAUUAUUAUAUUUCUUUGUUCAUGGUAAUUGUCUAUUGUUCAUGCUAUAAUUGUAUUGUUCGGAAAUCGUAAUACAUGUGUGAACACAUAGACCACAACGUGUCCCUAGUAAGCCUCUAGUUGACUAGCUCGUUGAUCAACAGAUAGUCAUGGUUUCCUGACUAUGGACAUUGGAUGUCAUUGAUAACGGGAUCACAUCAUUAGGAGAAUGAUGUGAUGGACAAGACCCAAUCCUAAGCAUAGCAUAAAAGAUCGUGUAGUUUCGUUUGCUAGAGCUUUUCCAAUGUCAAGUAUCUUUUCCUUAGACCAUGAGAUCGUGCAACUCCCGGAUACCGUAGGAGUGCUUUGGGUGUGCCAAACGUCACAACGUAACUGGGUGACUAUAAAGGUGCACUACGGGUAUCUCCGAAAGUGUCUGUUGGGUUGGCACGGAUCGAGACUGGGAUUUGUCACUCUGUGUGACGAAGAGGUAUCUCUGGGCCCACUCGGUAAUGCAUCAUCAUAAUGAGCUCAAUGUGACUAAGGCGUUAGUCACGGGAUCAUGCAUUGCGGUACGAGUAAAGAGACUUACCGGUAACGAGAUUGAACAAGGUAUUGGGAUACCGACGAUCGAAUCUCGGGCAAGUAACAUACCGAUUGACAAAGGGAAUUGCAUACGAGAUUGAUUGAGUCCUCGACACCGUGGUUCAUCCGAUGAGAUCAUCGUGGAACAUGUGGGAGCCAACAUGGGUAUCCAGAUCCCGCUGUUGGUUAUUGACCGGAGAGGCGUCUCGGUCAUGUCUGCAUGUCUCCCGAACCCGUAGGGUCUACACACUUAAGGUUCGGUGACGCUAGGGUUGUAGAGAUAUGUGUAUGCGGAACCCCGAAAGUUGUUCGGAGUCCCGGAUGAGAUCCCGUACGUCACGAGAGGUUCCGGAAUGGUCCGGAGGUGAAGAAUUAUAUAUAGGAAGUCAAGUUUCGGCCACCGGGAAAGUUUCGGGGGUUACCGGUAUUGUACCGGGACCACCGGAAGGGUCCCGGGGGUCCACCGGAUGGGGCCACCUAUCCCGGAGGGCCCCGUGGGCUGAAAGUGGAAGGGAACCAGCCCCUAGUGGGCUGGGCGCCCCCCCAUGGGCCUCCCCCCAUGCGCCUAGGGUUGGGAACCCUAGGGUGGGGGGGCUUCCCCCUUGCCUUGGGGGGCAAGGCAACCCCUUCCCCCCUUUGGCCGCCGCCCCCCUUGGGAUCCCAUCUCCAGGGCCCCCCCCAGGGGGCCUAUAUAAAGGGGGGGGGAGGGAGGGCAGCAACCUACAGCCUUGGCGCCUCCCUCCUCCCCUGCAACACCUCUCUCUCUCUCGCAGAAGCUCGACGAAGCCCUGCCGGAGACCCGCUACAUCCACCACCACGCCAUCGUGCUGCUGGAUCUCCAUCAACCUCUCCUUCCCCCUUGCUGGAUCAAGAAGGAGGAGACGUCGCUGCACCGUACGUGUGUUGAAUGCGGAGGUGCCGUCCGUUCGGCACUCGGUCAUCGGUGAUUUGGAUCACGGCGAGUACGACUCCGUCAUCCACGUUCAAUGGAACGCUUCCGCUCGCGAUCUACAAGGGUAUGUAGAUGCACUCCCUUCCCCUCGUUGCUAGUAGACUCCAUAGAUGCAUCUUGGUGAGCGUAGGAUAAUUUUAAAAUUAUGCUACGAUUCCCAACAGUGGCAUCAUGAGCCAGGCCUAUGCGUAGUUACUAUGCACGAGUAGAACACAAAGCAGUUGUGGGCGUUGAGUUUGCCAAUUCUUCUUGCCGCUACUAGUCGUUUCUUGUUUCGGCGGCAUUGUAGGAUGAAGCGGCCCGGACCGACCUUACACGUACGCUUACGUGAGACAGGUUCCACCGAUUGACAUGCACUAGUUGCAUAAGGUGGCUAGCGGGUGUCUGUCUCUCCUACUUUAGUCGGAACAGAUUCGAUGAAAAGGGUCCUUAUGAAGGGUAAAUAGAAAUUGGCAAAUCACGUUGUGGUCAUACGUAGGUAAGAAACGUUCUUGAUAGAAACCUACAAACCACGUAAAAACUUGCAACAACAAUUAGAGGACGUCUAACUUGUUUUUGCAGCAAGUGCUAUGUGAUGUGAUAUGGCCAGAAGAUGUGAUGAAUGAUAUAUGUGAUGUAUGAGAUUGAUCAUAUUCUUGUAAUAGGAAUCACGACUUGCAUGUCGAUGAGUAUGACAACCGACAGGAGCCAUAGGAGUUGUCUUUAUUAUUUUGUAUGACCUGCGUGUCAUUGAAUAACGCCAUGUAAAUUACUUUACUUUGUUGCUAAACACGUUAGCCAUAGAAGUAGAAGUAAUCGUUGGCGUGACGACUUCAUGAAGACACAAUGAUGGAGAUCAUGGUGUCAUGCCGGUGACGAAGAUGAUCAUGGUGCCCCGAAGAUGGAGAUCAAAGGAGCAUAAUGAUAUUGGCCAUAUCAUGUCACUAUUUGAUUGCAUGUGAUGUUUAUCAUGUUUUUGCAUCUUAUUUGCUUAGAACGACGGUAGUAAGUAAGAUGAUCCCUUAUAAUAAUUUUAAGAAAGUGUUCAGCCUAACUGUGCACGGUUGCGAAGGUUCGUUGUUUCGAAGCACCACGUGAUGAUCGGGUGUGAUAGAUCCUAACGUUCGAAUACAACGGGUGUUGACGAGCCUAGCAUGUACAGACAUGGCCUCGGAACACACGCAAUACACUUAGGUUGACUUGACGAGCCUAGCAUGUACAGACAUGGCCUCGGAACACGGAGGACCGAAAGGUCGAGCAUGAGUCGUAUAGAAGAUACGAUCAACAUGGAGAUGUUCACCGAUCUUGACUAGUCCGUCUCACGUGAUGAUCGGACACGGCCUAGUUGACUCGGAUCAUGUUUCACUUAGAUGACUAGAGGGAUGUCUAUCUGAGUGGGAGUUCAUAAAAUAAUUUGAUUAUAUGAACUUAAUUAUCAUGAACUUAGUCUAAAAUCUUUACACUCUGUCUUGUAGAUCAAAUGGCCAACGUUGUCCUCAAUUUCAACGCGUUCCUAGAGAAAACCAAGCUGAAAGAUGAUGGCAGCAAUUAUACGGACUGGGUCCGGAACCUGAGGCUCAUCCUCAUAGUAGCCAAGAAAUAUUAUGUCUUAGAAGCACCGCUAGGUGAAGCACCAAUCCCUGAGAACCAAGACGUUAUGAACGCCUGGCAAACACGUGCUGAUGAUUACUCCCUCGUUCAGUGCGGCAUGCUUUACAGCUUAGAACCGGGUCUCCAAAAGCGUUUUGAGAAACAUGGAGCAUAUGAGAUGUUCGAGGAGCUGAAAAUGGUUUUCCAAGCUCAUGCCCGGGUCGAGAGAUAUGAUGUCUCCGACAAGUUCUUCAGCUGUAAGAUGGAGGAGAACAGUUCUGUUAGUGAGCACAUACUCAGAAUGUCUGGGUUGCACAACCGCUUAACUCAGCUGGGAGUUAAUCUCCCGGAUGACGCGGUCAUUGACAGAAUCCUCCAGUCGCUUCCACCAAGCUACAAGAGCUUUGUGAUGAACUUCAAUAUGCAGGGGAUGGAAAAGACCAUCCCUGAGGUAUAUUCAAUGCUGAAAUCAGCGGAGGUGGAGAUCAGAAAAGAACAUCAAGUGUUGAUGGUGAAUAAAACCACUAAGUUCAAGAAGGGCAAGGGUAAGAAGAACUUCAAGAAGGACGGCAAGGGAGUUGCCGCGCCCGGUAAGCCAGUUACUGGGAAGAAGUCGAAGAAUGGACCCAAGCCUGAAACUGAGUGCUUUUAUUGCAAGGGAAGUGGUCACUGGAAGCGGAACUGCCCCAAAUACUUAGCGGACAAGAAGAAGGCCGACAACACCAAAGGUAUAUGUGAUAUACAUGUAAUUGAUGUGUACCUUACCAGUACUCGUAGUAGCUCCUGGGUAUUUGAUACCGGUGCGGUUGCUCAUAUUUGUAACUCAAAACAGGAACUACGGAAUAAACGGAGACUGGCGAAGGACGAGGUGACGAUGCGCGUCGGGAAUGGUUCCAAGGUCGAUGUGAUCGCCGUCGGCACGCUACCUCUGCAUCUACCCACGGGAUUAGUUUUAAACCUCAAUAAUUGUUAUUUAGUGCCAGCUUUGAGCAUGAACAUUGUAUCUGGAUCUCGUUUAAUUCGAGAUGGCUACUCAUUUAAAUCCGAGAAUAAUGGUUGUUCUGUUUAUUUGAGAGAUAUGUUUUAUGGUCAUGCCCCGCUGGUCAAUGGUUUAUUUUUGAUGAAUCUCGAACGUGAUGUUACACAUAUUCAUAGUGUGAAUACCAAAAGAUGUAAAGUUGAUAACGAAAGUCCCACAUACUUGUGGCACUACCGCCUUGGUCACAUUGGUGUCAAGCGCAUGAAGAAGCUCCAUGCAGAUGGACUUUUGGAGUCUCUUGAUUACGAAUCAUUUGACACAUGCGAACCAUGCCUCAUGGGUAAGAUGACCAAGACUCCGUUCUCCGGAACAAUGGAGCGAGCAACCAACUUAUUGGAAAUCAUACAUAUCGAUGUGUGCGGUCCAAUGAGUGUUGAGGCUCGCGGAGGAUAUCGUUAUGUUCUCACUCUCACUGAUGACUUAAGUAGAUAUGGGUAUGUCUACCUAAUGAAACACAAGUCUGGAACCUUUGAAAAGUUCAAGGAAUUUCAGAGUGAAGUUGAGAAUCAACGUGACAGAAAAAUAAAAUUCUUACGAUCAGAUCGUGGUGGAGAAUAUUUAAGUCACGAGUUUGGUGCACACUUAAGGAAAUGUGGAAUAGUUUCACAACUCACGCCGCCUGGAACACCUCAGAGAAAUGGUGUGUCCGAACGUCGUGAUCGCACUCUAUUGGAUAUGGUGCGAUCUAUGAUGUCUCUUACCGAUUUACCGCUCUCAUUUUGGGGUUAUGCUUUAGAGACUGCCACAUUCACUUUAAAUAGGGCUCCGUCUAAAUCCGUUGAGACGACACCGUAUGAAUUAUGGUUUGGGAAGAAACCUAAGCUGUCGUUUCUAAAAGUUUGGGGAUGCGAUGCUUAUGUCAAGAAACUUCAACCUGAAAAGCUCGAACCCAAGUCGGAAAAAUGCGUCUUCAUAGGAUACCCUAAGGAAACUAUUGGGUAUACCUUCUACCUCAGAUCCGAAGGCAAGAUCUUCGUUGCCAAGAACGGGUCCUUUCUGGAGAAGGAGUUUCUCUCGAAAGAAUUGAGUGGGAGGAAAGUGGAACUUGAUGAGGUGAUAGUCACCCCUUCCGAACCGGAAAGUAGCGCAGCGCGGGAAAAUGUUCCUGUGGUGCCUACACCGACUGGGGAGGAAGUUAAUGAUGAUGAUCAUGAAGCUUCAGAUCAAGUUACUGAACUUCGUAGGUCCACAAGGACACGUUCCGCACCAGAGUGGUACGGCAACCCUGUCCUGGAAAUCAUGUUGUUAGACAACGGUGAACCUUUGAACUAUGAAGAAGCGAUGGCGGGCCCGGAUUCCGACAAAUGGCUAGAAGCCAUGAAAUCCGAGAUAGAAUCCAUGUAUGAAAACAAAGUAUGGACUUUGACUGACUUGCCCGAUGAGCGGCGAGCCAUAGAAAACAAAUGGAUAUUUAAGAAGAAGACGGACGCAGAUGGUAAUGUGACCAUCUACAAAGCUCGACUUGUCGCUAAGGGUUAUCGACAAGUUCAAGGGGUUGACUACGAUGAGACUUUCUCACCCGUAGCGAAGCUGAAGUCCGUCCGAAUCAUGUUAGCAAUUGCCGCAUACUAUGAUUAUGAGAUAUGGCAGAUGGACGUCAAAACGGCAUUCCUUAACGGCUUCCUUAAGGAAGAGUUGUAUAUGAUGCAGCCGGAAGGUUUUGUCGAUCCUAAGAAUGCUAACAAAGUAUGCAAGCUCCAGCGCUCAAUCUAUGGGCUGGUCCAAGCAUCUCGGAGUUGGAACAUUCGCUUUGAUGAGAUGAUCAAAGCGUUUGGGUUUACACAGACUUAUGGAGAAGCCUGUGUUUACAAGAAAGUGAGUGGGAGCUCUGUAGCAUUUCUCUUAUUAUAUGUGGAUGACAUAUUAUUGAUGGGAAAUGAUAUGGAAUUCUUGGAAAGUAUUAAGGCCUAUUUGAAUAAGUGUUUUUCAAUGAAGGACCUUGGAGAAGCUGCUUAUAUAUUAGGCAUCAAGAUCUAUAGAGAUAGAUCAAGACGCCUCAUUGGUCUUUCACAGAGUACAUACCUUGACAAGAUAUUGAAGAAGUUCAGUAUGGAUCAGUCCAAGAAGGGGUUCUUGCCUGUAUUGCAAGGUGUGCAAUUGAGCACGGCUCAAUGCCCGACCACGGCAGAAGAUAUAGAAAAGAUGAGUGUCAUCCCCAAUGCCUCGGCCAUAGGGUCUAUUAUGUAUGCCAUGCUGUGUACCAGACCUGAUGUAAACCUUGCCGUAAGUUUGGUAGGAAGAUACCAAAGUAAUCCCGACAUGGAACACUGGACAGCGGUCAAGAAUAUCCUGAAGUACCUGAAGAGGACUAAGGAUAUGUUUCUCGUUUAUGGAGGUGACGAAGAGCUCGUCGUAAAGGGUUACGUCGACGCUAGCUUCGACACAGAUCUGGAUGACUCGAAGUCACAGACCGGAUACGUGUAUAUUUUGAAUGGAGGAGCAGUAAGCUGGUGCAGUUGCAAGCAAAGCGUCGUGGCGGGAUCUACAUGUGAAGCGGAGUACAUGGCAGCCUCGGAGGCAGCACAGGAAGCAGUCUGGAUGAAGGAGUUCAUUACCGACCUAGGGGUGAUUCCCAAUGCGUCGGGCCCGAUGACUCUCUUCUGUGACAACACUGGAGCUAUUGCCCUUGCGAAGGAGCCCAGGUUUCACAGGAAGACCAGGCAUAUCAAGCGUCGCUUCAACUCCAUUCGUGAAAGUGUUCAAAAUGGAGACAUAGAUAUUUGUAAAGUACACACGGACCUGAAUGUAGCAGAUCCGUUGACUAAACCUCUCCCUAGGGCAAAACAUGAUCAACACCAGGACGCAAUGGGUGUUCGAUUCAUCACAAUGUAACUAGAUUAUUGACUCUAGUGCAAGUGGGAGACUGUUGGAAAUAUGCCCUAGAGGCAAUAAUAAAUGGUUAUUAUUAUAUUUCUUUGUUCAUGGUAAUUGUCUAUUGUUCAUGCUAUAAUUGUAUUGUUCGGAAAUCGUAAUACAUGUGUGAACACAUAGACCACAACGUGUCCCUAGUAAGCCUCUAGUUGACUAGCUCGUUGAUCAACAGAUAGUCAUGGUUUCCUGACUAUGGACAUUGGAUGUCAUUGAUAACGGGAUCACAUCAUUAGGAGAAUGAUGUGAUGGACAAGACCCAAUCCUAAGCAUAGCAUAAAAGAUCGUGUAGUUUCGUUUGCUAGAGCUUUUCCAAUGUCAAGUAUCUUUUCCUUAGACCAUGAGAUCGUGCAACUCCCGGAUACCGUAGGAGUGCUUUGGGUGUGCCAAACGUCACAACGUAACUGGGUGACUAUAAAGGUGCACUACGGGUAUCUCCGAAAGUGUCUGUUGGGUUGGCACGGAUCGAGACUGGGAUUUGUCACUCCGUGUGACGGAGAGGUAUCUUUGGGCCCACUCGGUAAUGCAUCAUCAUAAUGAGCUCUAUGUGACUAAGGCGUUAGUCACGGGAUCAUGCAUUACGGUACGAGUAAAGAGACUUGCCGGUAACGAGAUUGAACAAGGUAUUGGGAUACCGACGAUCGAAUCUCGGGCAAGUAACAUACCGAUUGACAAAGGGAAUUGUAUACGGGAUUGAUUGAAUCCUCGACACCGUGGUUCAUCCGAUGAGAUCAUCGUGGAACAUGUGGGAGCCAACAUGGGUAUCCAGAUCCCGCUGUUGGUUAUUGACCGGAGAGGCGUCUCGGUCAUGUCUGCAUGUCUCCCGAACCCGUAGGGUCUACACACUUAAGGUUCGGUGACGCUAGGGUUGUAGAGAUAUGUGUAUGCGGAAACCCGAAAGUUGUUAAUCACAUGGCGUUGUGAACUAGAUUAUUGACUCUAGUAAACCCUUUGGGUGUUAAUCACAUGGCGAUGUGAACUAUUGGUGUUAAUCACAUGGCGAUGUGAACUAGAUUAUUGACUCUAGUGCAAGUGGGAGACUAAAGGAAAUAUGCCCUAGAGGCAAUAAUAAAGUUGUUAUUUUAUAUUUCCUUAUUCAUGAUAAAAGUUUAUUAUUCAUGCUAGAAUUGUAUUGAUCGGAAACCUAAAUACAUGUGUGAAUACAUAGACAAACACUGUGUCCCUAGUGAGCCUCUACUUGACUAGCUCGUUGUUCAAAGAUGGUUAAGGUUUCAUAACCAUGGACAUGUGUGGUCAUUUGAUAACGGGAUCACACCAUUAGGAGAAUGAUGUGAUAGACAAGACCCAUCCGUUAGCUUAGCAUAAUGAUCGUUCAGUUUUAUUGCUAUUGCUUUUUUCAUGUCAAAUACAUAUUCCUUCGACUAUGAGAUUAUGCAACUCCCGGAUACCGGAGGAAUGCCUUGUGUGCUAUCAAACGUCACAACAUAACUGGGUGAUCAUAAAGAUGCUCUACAGGUAUCUCCGAAGGUAUCUGUUGAGUUGGCAUAGAUCAAGAUUAGGAUUUGUCACUCUGAGUAUCGGAGAGGUAUCUCUGGGCCCUCUCGGUAAUACACAUCAUAAGCUUGUAAGCAAACGACUAAGGGGUUAGUCACGAGGUGAUGUAUUAUGGAACGAGUAAAGAGACUUGCCGGUAAGGAGAUUGAACUAGGUAUGAAGAUACCGACGAUCGAAUCUCGGGCAAGUAACAUACCGAUGGACAAAGGGAAUUAUGUGUGUUGUCAUAACGGUUCGACCGAUAAAGAUCUUCGUAGAAUAUGUAGGAGCCAAUAUGAUCAUCCAGGUUUCGCUAUUGGUUAUUGACCAGAGAGGUGUCUCGGUCAGUCUACAUAGUUCUCGAACCCGUAGGGUCCGCACGCUUAACGUUCGAUGAUGAUAUAAUAUUAUAUGAGUUAUGUGAUUUGGUGACCGAAUGUUGUUCGGAGUCCCGGAUGAGAUCACGGACAUGACGAGGAGUCUCUAAAUGGUUGAGAGGUAAAGAUUGAUAUAUAGGACGAUGGUAUUCAGACACCGGAAGUGUUCCGGAGGGUACCGGGUACAUAUCGGGUCACUGGAAGGGGUUCCAAGAUAUGGGCCUUAUGGGCCAAGAGGGGAAAUGCACCAGCCACAAGGGGCUAGUGCGCCCCCAUAUGGGCGGGCCAAGGUGGAGAAGGAAAGGGGAAGGAGGAAAGGAAAGAAAGGGAAUAUGAUUCCCCCUUCCUCCCCCUCCCCCUCUUUCCGUCCCCCUCCGAUAUAUAUGGCAGGGGGCGCGCGGCUUGGGACGAGCCCAAGUAGGAUUUGGUCCUACUUGGGGCGCCUCCUGGCCUCUCCCCUUCCCCUCCCACCUAUAUAUAUGUGGGGGGCACCCCUAGCACACCCCAAACAAUUGUCUAGCCGUGUGCGGUGCCCCCCUCCAUAGUUUACACCCCAGUCAUAUUCUCACGAUGCUUAGGCGAAGCCCUGCGAGGAUCACUUCACCAUCACCGUCGUGCUGACGGAACUCAUCUACUACCUCGACGUCUUUCUGGAUCAAGAAGACGAGGGACAUCACCGAGCUGAACGUGUGCAGAACGCGGAGGUGCCGUACGUUCAGUACUUGAUCGGUUGGAUCACGAAGAAGUUCAACUACAUCAACCGCGUUGUUAAACGCUUCCGCUUACGGUCUAAAAGGGUACGUAGACACACUCCCCCCUCGUUGCAAUGCAUCUCCAUGGAUAGAUCAUUGUGUGUGUGUAGAAUUUUUUUUGUUUUCCAUGCUACGUUUCCCAACAACACCACGAACACCAAGCUGUGUGCGGCGCCCCGUCUCCCUCUAGUUCUAGUUCCUCCUCUGUCCACGUCCGUUGUGCUUGGCGAAGCCCUACGGAUAGUUUCACCACCACCGUCACCACGCCAUUGUGCUGCCGGAACUCAUCUACUACUUCGCCUAUCUUUCUGGAUCAAGAAGGCGAGGGCAUCAUCGAGCUGAACAUGUGCUGAACGCGGACGUGCCGUACGUUCGAUACUUGACCGGGACGGAUCAUGAAGGUGUACGACUACAUCAACCGCGUUGAUAAACGCUUCCUCUUAGCGAUCUACAAGGGUAUGUAGAUGCUCUCCCCCUCUCGUAGCUAUGCAUCUUAAUGGAUAGAUCUUGCGUGUGCCUAGAAUCUUUUUGUUUUCCAUGCAACGUUCCCCAACACUAUGUUUAUUUGUUAAAUACUAAUGAUAAGGCUCUACACUACUUUAAAAUCUAUAAGGAAGAAGUUGAGAUCCAACUUGAAAAGAAAAUAAAUCAAGUUCGAUCUGAUCGUGGCAGAGAGUACUUUUCUAAUGAGUUUGAUUUAUUCUGUGGUACUAUUCAUGAGAGGACGCCUCCCUACUCACCCCAGUCAAACGGGGUUGCCGUACGGAAAACCCGUACUCUAACAGAUUUGGUUAACGCCAUGUUAGAUACAUCGGGUUUAUCCAAGGCAUGAUGGGGGGAGGUUGUAUUGACAUCAUGUCAUGUCCUGAAUAAAGUUCCCACAAAGGAUAAUGAGACUACUCCCUAUGAGCAAUGGGAGAAGAAAAGAACUACACUCUCUUACUUGCGCACUUGGGGCUGUUUGACGAAAGUCAAUGUGCCGAUAAUCAAAAAGCGUAAGUUGGGACCAAAGAGUAUGGACUGCGUUUUUCUGGGUUAUGCCAAGCAUAGCAUUGGCUAUAGAUUUCUAGUGGUGAAAUCUAAUGCACAUGACGUAAAGGUCGGUACGAUCAUGGAGUCUAAAGAUGCUACAUUCUUUGAGGAUAUUUUCCCCAUGAGAGAUAUGCAAAGCACUUCUAGACUGGAAUCUGAUGAGACUCCUGAAUCUUCCAUUCCGAUAUAAUAUUAUGAACAAAAAAGUGAUGAAAGUUCCAUGGAGGAUGACGAGGAAGCUCCUAUUAGGAGCAAGAGACAAAGGGUUGCAAAGUCCUUUGGUGACAAUUUCCUCAUGUACCUCGUGGAUGACACUCCUAGUUCCAUUUCAGAAGCCUAUGCAUUACCAGAUGUUGACUACUGGAAGGAUGCGGUCCGUAGCGAGGUGGAUUCCAUCUUAGCUAACGGGACAUGGGAGAUCAAUAAUCGUCCUUAUGGUUUCCAACCAUUGGGAUGUAAGUGGGUGUUCAAAAAAGCUUAGGACCGAUGGUAAUAUUAAGAAGUAUAAGGUUAGGAUUGUGGCCAAGUGUUAUACCCAGAAAGAAGAAGAUUUCUUCGAUACUUACUCACCUAUGGCUAGACUGACAACCAUUCGAGUGUUACUCUCGUUUGCUGCCUCAUAUGGUCUUCUUCUCCAUCAGAUGGACGUUAAGAUGACUUUCCUUAGCCUGCACUUGUUAUUGUUGUUGUUAGCAUCAUAUAGGUUGCUCACCUAGUUGCACAUCUAGACAACCUAUUUGUUGCUAACCUAAUUUGUUAAGAAAAGCUAAAAAUUGGUAGUUGCCUAUUCACCCCCCUCUAGUCAACCAUAUCGAUCCUUUCAAUUGGUACCAGAGCUUCGUCUCUUUAUUAAGGGUUUCACCACCCGAAGAGUAUGGUUGACACCGGGGAGGUUGUGCCCGAGGCCGUGGAGUUGACUUUGAUCACUCGAGACAACUUAAAUGAAGCCAUGGCUUCACUUAAGAUGUCUAUGAUGGCCAAAGGCAAGUCCAUGCUUAAAGAAUUACUUGAGGGGAUGAAAUCCACUCCCGGUCCCUUGCUUGUGGUUAAUCCCACGUUGCUUGCUCUAUACCAAGAGUUUAGGGAUUUGUCGAGUUGCGAGUGUGUUUUAUUGGCCUUGUCUUUCUCUCUCGCAAACUCUUUUGUCAGUCGUUUGUGCUUAUGAGACCUGGCUACCCUAUCAUAUGGUGUGAGACAUAUGCUAUCCUAUCCUAUGCUUAUCUAAUGCAUGUCUAGUACUUUGGUAGUUUGGGAGUUGCAUGCUUAAUGCUACCUCCUGAGCACUGCGUUGGUUUUCCCUUGAAGAGGAAAGGGUGAUGCAGUAAAGCAUCGUAAGUAUUUCCCUCAGUUUUUGAGAACCAAGGUAUCAACCCAGUAGGAGGCCACGCACGAGUCCCUCACACCUACACAAACAAAUAAAAUCCUCGCAACCAACGCAAUAAAGGGGUUGUCAAUCCCUUCACGGUCACUUACGAAAGUGAGAUCUGAUAGAUAUGAUAAGAUAAUAUUUUUGGUAUUUUUAUAAUAAAGAUGCAAAGUAAAAUAAAAGGCAAUAAAAAUAGCUAAGUGUUGGAAGAUUAAUAUGAUGGAAAAUAGACCCAGGGGCCAUAGGUUUCACUAGUGGCUUCUCUCGAGAGCAUAAGUAUUACGGUGGGUGAACAAAUUACUGUUGAGCAAUUGAUAGAAUUGAGCAUAGUUAUGAGAAUAUCUAGGUAUGAUCAUGUAUAUAGGCAUCACGUCCGUGACAAGUAGAACGACUCCUGCCUGCAUCUACUACUAUUACUCCACACAUCGACCGCUAUCCAGCAUGCAUCUAGAGUAUCAAGUUCAUAAGAACAGAGUAACGCUUUAAGCAAGAUGACAUGAUGUAGAGGGAUAAACUCAUGCAAUAUGAAAUAAACCCCAUCUUGUUAUCCUCGAUGGCAACAAUACAAUACGUGCCUUGCUGCCCCUGCUGUCACUGGGAAAGGACACCGCAAGAUUGAACCCAAAGCUAAGCACUUCUCCCAUUGCAAGAAAGAUCAAUCUAGUAGGCCAAACCAAACUGAUAAUUCGAAGAGACUUGCAAAGAUAACCAAUCGUACAUAAAAGAAUUCAUCGGUCUCAACAAACACACCGCAAAAGAAGAUUAUAUCGAAUAGAUCUCCAUGAGAAUCGUGGAGAACUUUGUAUUGAGAUCCAAAGAGAGAGAAGAAGCCAUCUAGCUAAUAACUAUGGACCCGAAGGUCUGAGGUAAACUACUCACACAUCAUCGGAGAUGCUAUGGUGUUGAUGUAGAAGCCCUCCGUGAUCAAUGCCCGCUCCGGCAGGAUGCCGGAAAAGGCCCCAAGAUGGGAUCUCACGGGUACAGAAGGUUGCGGCGGUGGAAUUAGGUUUUCGUGGAUGUUUCUGUUGGUUUGGGGGUACGUAGGUAUAUAUAGGAAAAAGAAGUACGUCGGUGGAGCAACAUGGGCCCCACGAGGGUGGAGGGCGCGCCCAGGGGGGUAGGCGCGCCCCCUACCUCGUGCCCUCCUGGUUGCUUUCUUGACGUAGGGUCCAAGUCCUCUGGAUCACGUUUGUUCCAAAAAUCACGUUCCCGAAGGUUUUAUUCCGUUUGGACUCUGUUUGAUAUUCUUUUUCCGCAAAACACUGAAAUAGGCAAAAAAAACAGCAAUUUGGGCUGGGCCUCCGGUUAAUAGGUUAGUCCCAAAAAUAAUAUAAAAGUGUAUAACAAAGCCCAUUAAUCAUCCAAAACAGAAUAUAAUAUAGCAUGAAGCAAUAAAAAAAUUAUAGAUACGUUGGAGACGUAUCAAGCAUCCCCAAGCUUAAUUCCUGCUCGUCCUCGAGUAGGUAAAUGAUAAAAACAAAUUUUUUGAUGCGGAAUGCUACUUGGCAUAUUUUUUUAAUGUAACCCUCUUAAUUGUGGUAUGAAUAUUCAGAUCCGAAAAUAUUCAAGAUAAAAGUUUAAUAUUGACAUAAAAGUAAUAGUACUUCAAGGAUACUAACUAAGCAAUUAUGUCUUCUCAAAAUAACAUGGCCAAAGAAAGUUCAUCCCUACAAAAUCAUAUAGUUUAGUCAUGCUCCAUUUUCGUCACACAAGAAUGCUCUCAUCAUGCACAACCCCGAUGACAAGCCAAGCAAUUGUUUCAUACUUUAGUAAUCUCAAACCUUUUCAACCUUGACGCAAUACAUGAGCGUGAGCCAUGGAUAUAACACUAUGGGUGGAAUAGAAUAUAAAGAUGGGGGUUAUGUAGAGAAGACAAAAAAGGAGAAAGUCUCACAUCAACGCGGCCAAUCAACGGGCUAUGGAGAUGCCCAUCGAUUGAUGUUAAUGCGAGGAGUAGGGAUUGCCAUGCAACGGAUGCACUAGAGCUAUAAAUGCAUAAAAGCUCAACAAAAGAAACUAAGUGGGUGUGCAUCCAACUUGCUUGCUCACGAAGACCUAAGGCAUUUGAGGAAGCCCAUUGUUGGAAUAUACAAGCCAAGUUCUAUAAUGAAAAAUUCCCACUAGUAUAUGAAAGUGACAAAACAAGAGACUCUAUCAUGAAGAUCAUGGUGCUACUUUGAAGCACAAGUGUGGAAAAAGGAUAGUAGCAUUGUCCCUUUUUUUAUUUUUGGGUCUUUCUCUUUUUUUUAUUGGGACAAUGCUCUAUGAAUGAUGAUCAUCACACUUCUAUUUAUUUACAACUCAAUGAUUACAAUUCGAUACUAGAACAAAGUAUGACUCUAUAUGAAUGCCUCCGGCGGUAUACCGGGAUGGGCAAUGAAUCAAGAGUGACAUGUAUGAAAAAUUAUGAACGGUGGCUUUGCCACAAAUACGAUGUCAACUACAUGAUCAUGCAAAGCAAUAUGACAAUGAUGAACGUGUCAUGAUGAACGGAAUGGUGGAAAGUUGCAUGGCAAUAUAUCUCGGAAUGGCUAUGGAAAUGCCAUAAUAGGUAGGUAUGGUGGCUGUUUUGAGGAAGAUAUAAGGAGGUUUAUGUGUGAUAGAGCGUAUCAUAUCACGGGGUUUGGAUGCACCGGCGAAGUUUGCACCAACUCUCAAUGUGAGAAAGGGCAAUGCACGGUACCGAAGAGGCUAGCAAUGAUGGAAGGGUAAGAGUGCGUAUAAUCAAUUGACUCAACAUUAGUCAUAAAGAACUCACAUACUUAUUGCAAAAAUCUACAAGUCAUCAACUACGCGCAUGCUCCUAGGGGGAUAGAUUGGUAGGAAAAGACCAUCGCUCGUCCCCGACCGCCACUCAUAAGGAAGACAAUCAAAGAACACCUCAUGUUUCAAAUUUGUUACAUAACGUUUACCAUACGUGCAUGCUACGGGACUUGCAAACUUCAACACAAGUAUUUCUCAAUUUCACAACUACUCAACUAGCACAACUUUAAUAUCACUACCUCCAUAUCUCAAAACAAUCAUCAAGCAUCAAACUUCUCUUAAUAUUCAACGCACUUAUAAGAAAGUUUUUUACUAGUCUUGAAUACCUAACAUGUUAGGAUUAAUUUCCCAACUUAAGCAAAUUACCAUGCUGUUUAAGACUCUCAAAAUAAUAUAAGUGAAGCAUGAGAGAAUAAUAGUUUCUAUAAAACAAAAGCACCGCCGUGCUCUAAAAGAUAUAAGUGAAGCACUAGAGCAAAAACUAUAUAGCUCAAAAGAUAUAAGCGAAGCGCAUAGAGUAUUCUAAUAAAUUCCAAAUCAUAUGUGUCUCUCUCAAAAGGUGUGUACAGAAAAUAUGAUUGUGGCAAACUUAACAAAUAAAGACUCAAAUAAUACAAGACGCUCCAAGCAAAACACAUAUCAUGUGGUGAAUAAAAAUAUAGCUCCAAGUAAAGUUACCGAUGGAAGUAGACGAAAGAGGGGAUGCCUUCCGGGGCAUCCCCAAGCUUUGGCUUUUGGUGUCCUUAGAUUAUCUUGGGGUGCCAUGGGCAUCCCCAAGCUUAGGCUCUUGCCACUCCUUGUUCCAUAAUCCAUCAAAUCUUUUACCCAAAACUUGAAAACUUCACAACACAAAACUUAACAGAAAAUCUCGUGAGCUCCGUUAGCGAAAGAAAACAAAACACCACUUCAAGGUACUGUAAUUAACUCAUUAUUUAUUUAUAUGGGUGUUAAACCUACUGUAUUCCAACUUCUCUAUGGUUUAUAAACUAUUUUACUAGCCAUAGAUUCAUCAAAAUAAGCAAACAACACAUGAAAAACAGAAUCUGUCAAAAACAGAACAAUCUGUAGUAAUCUGUAACUAACACAAACUUCUGGAACUUGAAAAAUUCAGCCAAAAUAGGGAGAACUAAAAAAUUUGUUUAUUGAUCUUCUGCAAUUGGAAUCAAUAUCAUGUCACGUUCUGAUAAUUUUUAACAAUUGUUUUCGUGAACAGAAAGUUUCUGGAAUUUUCAGCAAGAUCAAAUAACUAUCAUCCAAGAAGAUCCUAUAGGUUUAACUUGGCACAAACACUAAUUAAAACAUAGAAACAAAUCUAACCAGAGGCCAGAUCAAAUAUUUAUUCCUAAACAGAAGCAAAAAGCAAAAAAACUAAAAAUAAAAUUGGGUUGCCUCCCAACAAGCGCUAUCGUUUAACGCCCCUAGCUAGGCAUAAAAGCAAGGAUAGAUCUAGGUAUUGCCAUAAUAAUAGGAUAGAUCACGAAAACUCAUUUCGUAUUCUCUACGUUCAGCAGCAAGUUUUCUUUGAGGCAAACAAAAGUAAUCAAAAGGGCUAAAUUUAAUGGGACAGAAGUCCCCAAGAUCAACCUUUGGAGGUAUAGGUUCCUCCUUCGGCCCUUCAUAUUGCACAACCAAUUCAUCAUUAUAAGCGUUCUUUUAACAAAAUUUCGUGAGCCUAUACUCGAGAGAGUAUCCUAGCUCAUUAUUUCGAAUAGCAAAAUCAUUAUUAAGUUCAGAAAUUCUAUUAACUAGAACAUUGGUAGGAACCUUUUUUCUAAGGUUUUCGUUAAAAGCAACAUAGUCUAGAGAUUGAAAACGCAUUAUUUCCUCUUGAUCAAAUAAGACAGUCUCUAUGGGAGGACGGCCAGCGUCCACCCUAUAGUGCGCAAAGAUUUCUUUGGCCUCUUUUAUAAUAAAUCUGAAUUCAUGAGCCAAAAAGAUAGUAGCGGCACGCUUAACAGAAGAAUGCUCAAUAUUAGAAAAUUCUAGGAAAAUCCUUUGUAUGCAAGGGUGCAUGUGCAUAAAUUGCCUUUCAAGUUCAACUACAAGCAUGGCAAUAGCGUCUGCGAGACUACUAGUUCUAUGAAGAAUAGAACUACCCAUAGAAGGCAAAGCACGGCACAAGUAAACAAAUCUUGAAUAACCCCUUUUCCAAUAAUAUUACCACUACCAAUUCAGAAUUUUUUUGUAUGUAAGAUAGGGGGUUCUUCAGCAGGAGCAUCAGAAUUUUCCAUGUUAUUGUUAUUGUCCAUAUCGACAAUAAUUUCCCCAAUUUUAGACAUAACGGCAGAAAGUGCGAGGAGCAAAAAGAAAGAGGGAGGCGAACGGAAAAUAGAGGGCGAAUAAAACGGCAAUGAUGAAGUGGGGGAGAGGAAAACGAGAGGCAAAUGGCAAAUAAUGUAAUGCGGGAGAUAAGAGUUUGUGAUGGGUACUUGGUAUGUUGACUUUUGCGUAGACUCCCCGGCAACGGCGCCAGAAAUCCUUCUUGCUACCUCUUGAGCACUGCGUUGGUUUUCCCUUGAAGAGGAAAGGGUGAUGCAGUAAAGCAGCGUAAGUAUUUCCCUCAAUUUUUGAGAACCAAGGUAUCAAUCCAGUAGGAGGCCACGCACGAGUCCCUCGCACCUACACAAACAAAUAAAAACCUCGUAACCAACGCAAUAAAGGGGUUGUCAAUCCCUUCACGGUCACUUACGAAAGUGAGAUCUGAUAGAUAUGAUAAGAUAAUAUUUUUGGUAUUUUUAUAAUAAAGAUGCAAAGUAAAAUAAAAGGCAAUAAAAAUAGCUAAGUGUUGGAAGAUUAAUAUGAUGGAAAAUAGACCCCGGGGCCAUAGGUUUCACUAGUGGCUUCUCUCGAGAGCAUAAGUAUUACGGUGGGUGAACAAAUUACUGUUGAGCAAUUGAUAGAAUUGAGCAUAGUUAUGAGAAUAUCUAGGUAUGAUCAUGUAUAUAGGCAUCACGUCCGUGACAAGUAGAACGACUCCUGCCUGCAUCUACUACUAUUACUCCACACAUCGACCGCUAUCCAGCAUGCAUCUAGAGUAUUAAGUUCAUAAGAACAGAGUAACGCUUUAAGCAAGAUGACAUGCUGUAGAGGGAUAAACUCAUGCAAUAUGAAAUAAACCCCAUCUUGUUAUCCUCGAUGGCAACAAUACAAUAUGUGCCUUGCUGCCCCUGCUGUCACUGGGAAAGGACACCGCAAGAUUGAACCCAAAGCUAAGCACUUCUCCCAUUGCAAGAAAGAUCAAUCUAGUAGGCCAAACCAAACUGAUAAUUCGAAGAGACUUGCAAAGAUAACCAAUCAUACAUAAAAUAAUUCAGAGAAGAUUCAAAUAUUGUUCAUAGAUAAACUUGAUCAUAAACCCACAAUUCAUCGGUCUCAACAAACACACCGCAAAAGAAGAUUACAUCGCAUAGAUCUCCAUGAGAAUCGUGGAGAACUUUGUAUUGAGAUCCAAAGAGAGAGAAGAAGCCAUCUAGCUAAUAACUAUGGACCCGAAGGUCUGAGGUAAACUACUCACACAUCAUCGGAGAUGCUAUGGUGUUGAUGUAGAAGCCCUCCGUGAUCAAUGCCCCCUCCGGCAGGAUGCCGGAAAAGGCCCCAAGAUGGGAUCUCAUGGGUACAGAAGGUUGCGGCGGUGGAAUUAGGUUCUUGUGGAUGCUUCUGUUGGUUUGGGGGUACGUAGGUAUAUAUAGGAGAAAGAAGUACGUCGGUGGAGCAACAUGGGCCCCACGAGGGUGGAGGGCGCGCCCAGGGGGGUAGGCGCGCCCCCUACCUCGUGCCCUCCUGGUUGCUUUCUUGACGUAGGGUCCAAGUCCUCUGGAUCACGUUUGUUCCGAAAAUCACGUUCCCGAAGGUUUCAUUCCGUUUGGACUCCGUUUGAUAUUCCUUUUCCGCGAAACACUAAAAUAGGCAAAAAAACAGCAAUUUGGGCUGGGCCUCCGGUUAAUAGGUUAGUCCCAAAAAUAAUAUAAAAGUGUAUAACAAAGCCCAUUAAUCAUCCAAAACAGAAUAUAAUAUAGCAUGAAGUAAUAAAAAAUUAUAGAUACGUUGGAGACGUAUCACUUAACUUGUUCCUAUUAUGCUCACUUUCUACUCCUUGCAUCCUAGCUUAUAUGUCUCUUAUUUUAGAUGCAAGUGUUGUCUGGAUAUAAAAUAUAGGAGGAGUGUUGAUCCUAAUGUGUGUACUUGCAUUCCAAAGGCACUCCUAACUAAGUGCAGACAUCUAAGGGGAGCCUGCCUAUAUUUUGUAGUCUCUGGGGUUUGCUUAUUUUCUUGUUUUAUCUCUAUGCAAAUCCCGCGUUGUCAUCAAUCCACCAGAAAGGGGGAGAUUGUUAGGGCAUGUCUCUCUCUCUAAGUGGUUUUGGUGAUUGAUGACAAUGCGUUUGCGGACUAAUCAUGUGCACUGCUUUCAAAUACUUAUUCAUUGGCAUGAGACGAUUCAUUUCCCCUCAGUGUUUAAGGAGAAGACGGUGUGUUUAAUUCGUUUCAGUUUUGGUGGACUUGAGUCGUAGGAAACACCGUACUAUCAAGAGGGGGUCCGUAUUGGAAAGGUUAGGGUGGAAUCAACACGUACACGUCCCCUUUGCACCCCAACUCUUUCCUGCAUCUUUGGAGGAUCCUUUGUUGUCUUGGAAGUGGGCUUGAUAGGGAUCCAGCGGAAGUACCGCGGCGCCGAGCGGUAGUACCGCCCAGAGCCACAGGCGGCAAUACCGCUGUUCGUCAGCAGUAGUACCGCCUGGGGGUCUCGCUUGUAGUACCGCUUCGGUGCCAUGCUAUUACCGCCUCGAUUCAAGAGCGUUGCUUCUCGUGUCGGGUUGUGAGGCAGUUGCGGCGGUAGUACCGCUCACGAGCGGUAGUAUCGCCCGACUACCGCUGCUAGUGCCACCCGGGCUCUCGCUCUCGUGCCCCUUCCCCCUUGAGGCCUCUGCCCUCUAUCUCUGCGGUAGUACCGCUGGGACUCGCGGUAGUACUGCUGUCGCCAGCGGUNNNNNNNNNNNNNNNNNNNNNNNNNNNNNNNNNNNNNNNNNNNNNNNNNNNNNNNNNNNNNNNNNNNNNNNNNNNNNNNNNNNNNNNNNNNNNNNNNNNNNNNNNNNNNNNNNNNNNNNNNNNNNNNNNNNNNNNNNNNNNNNNNNNNNNNNNNNNNNNNNNNNNNNNAGAAGACCUACCUUUUUCCCCCAAGCUCCAUUGUUGCUCCAAAGAUCAUUUUCACCCAAUCUCUCUCCCUAGCCAAUCAAACUUGUUGAUUUUCUAGGGUUUGGUUGAGAAGGCCCGGAUCUACAGUUCCACCAAGAGAAAUUUGAUUCCCCCCACUAAUCCCUUGCGGAUCUUGUUACUCUUGGGUGUUUGAGCACCCUAGACGGUUGAGGUGACCUCGGAGCCACAUAUCAUUGUGGUGAAGCUCCAUGGUAUCAUUGGGAGCCUCCAAUCAAGUUGUGGUGAUAGCCCCAACCUUAUUUGUAAAGGUUCGGUCGUCGCCUUCAAGGGCACCACUAGUGGAAUCACGGCAUCUCGCAUUGUGUGAGGGCGUGAGGAGAAUACGGUGGCCCUAGUGGCUUCUUGGGGAGCAUUGUGCCUCCACACCGCUUCAACGGAGACGUACUUCCCCCAAAGGGAAGGAACUUCGGUAACACAUCCUCGUCUCCACCGGCUCCACUUGUGGUUAUCUCUUCCCUUUACUUUGUGCAAGUUAUUAUUGUGUUGUAUCCUUAGCUUGCACUUGUUAUUGUUGUUGUUAGCAUCAUAUAGGUUGCUCACCUAGUUACACAUCUAGACAACCUAUUUGUUGCUAAACCUAAUUUGUUAAGAAUAGCUAAAAAUUGGUAGUUGCCUAUUCACCCCCCCUCUAGUCAACCAUAUCGAUCCUUCCACUCGCGAUAUAGCUCCCCUAUUUUGAUAUGUUCCUAGAGAAAACUAAGUUGAAAGAUGAUGGUAGCAAUAACGCGGACUCGGUCCGUGAUCUAAGGAUUAUCCUCAUUGUUGCACAGAAGAAUUAUGUCCUUAAUGCACCGCUAGGUGACAGACCUAUUGCAGGAAUAGAUAUAGACGUUAUGAACGUUUGGCAAGCUCGAUAUGAUGACUACUUAAUAGUUUAGUGCGCCAUGCUUUAUGACAUAGAAACGGGACUUCAAAAAUGUUUUGAACGCCACGGAGCACAUGAGAUGUUCCAAGAGCUGAAAUUGGUAUUUCAGACUCAUGCCCAUGUCAAGAGGUAUGAGACCUCUGACAAGUACUUUGCCUACAAGAUGGAGGAGAGUAGCUCAGCCAGCGAUCAUGUGCUCAGAAUGUCUGGGUACUACAAUCGCUUGAAUCAAGUGGGAGUUAAUCUUCCGGAUAAGAUAGUGAUUGCCAGAGUUCUCUAGUCACUAUCACCAAGCUACUAGAACUUCAUGAUGAAUAUAAUAUGCAAGGGAUGACGAUAACGAUUCCUGAGCUCUUCAUGAUACUGAAAUCGACGAAGGAAGAAAUCAAGAAAGAGCAUCAGGUGUUGAUGGUUAACAAGACCACUAGUUUCAAGAAAAAGGGCAAGGGAAAGAAAGGAACUUCAAGAAGAAUGGCAAGCAAGUUGCCACUCCCGGGAAGAAGCCCAAAGCUGGACCCAAGCCUGAAACUGAGUGCUUCUACUUCAAAGGGACUGGUUACUGGAAGCGGAACUGCCCCAAAUACUUGGCGGAUAAGAAGGAUGGCAAAGUGAACAAAGGUAUAUUUGAAAUACAUGUAAUUGAUGUGUUCCUUAGUAAUGCUCGUAGUAGCGCCUGGUUAUUCGAUACUGGUUCAGUUGCUCAUAUUUGUAACUCGAAACAGGAGCUGCGGAAUAAAUGAAGAUUGGCUAAGGACGAGGUGACGAUGCGCGUCGGAAAUGGUUCCAAGGUCGACGUGAUCGCCAUCGGCACGCUACCUCUACAUCUACCUUCGGGAUUAGUUUUAGACCUCAAUAAUUGUUAUUUGGUGCCUGUGUUGAGCAUGAACAUUAUAUCUGGAUCUUGUUUAUUGCGGGACGGUUAUUCAUUUAAGUCAGAGAAUAAUGGUUAUUCUAUUUAUAUGAAUAAUAUCUUUUAUGGUUAUGCACCCUUGAAGAGUGGUCUAUUCUUGUUGAAUCUCGAUAGUAGUGAUAAACAUAUUCAUAAUAUUGAUGCCAAAAGAUGCAAAGUUGAUAAUGAUAGUGCAACAUACUCGUGGCACUGCCGUUUAGGUCAUAUUGGUGUAAAGUGCAUGAAGAAACUCCAUGCAGAUGGACUUUUGAAAUCACUUGAUUAUGAAUCAUUUGAUACUUGCGAACCAUGCCUCAUGGGCAAGAUGACUAAAACUCUGUUCUUUGGAACAAUGGAGCGAGCUAAUGACUUAUUGGAAAUAAUACAUACCGAUUAUGCGGUCCGACGAGUGUUGAGGCACGAGGCGGGUAUCGUUAUUUUCUGACCUUCACAGAUGAUUUGAGUAGGUAUGGAUAUAUCUACUUAAUGAAACACAAGUCUGAAACAUUUGAAAAGUUCUAAGAAUUCCAGAGUGAAGUGGAGAAUCAUCGUAACAAGAAAAUAAAGUUUCUACGAUGUGAUCAUGGAGGCAAAUAUUUGAGUUACGAGCUUGGCUUUCAUUUAAAACAAUGUGGAAUUGUUUCACAACUCACGCCACCUUGAACACCACAGCGUAAUGGUGUGUCUAAACGUCGUAACCAUGCUUUAUUAGAUAUGGUGCGUUCUAUGAUGUCUCUUACCGAUUUACCACUAUCGGUUUGGGGUUAUGCAUUAGAGACAUCCGCAUUCACGUUAAAUAGGGCACCAUCUAAACCCGUUGAGAUGACACCGUAUGAACUUUGGUUUGGCAAGAAACCUAAGCUGUCGUUUCUUAAAGUUUGGGGUUGUGACACUUAUGUCAAAAGGCUUCAGCCUGAUAAGCUCGAACCCAAAUCAGAUAAGUGCGUCUUCAUAGGAUACCCGAAGGAAACAAUUGGGUAGACCUUCUACCACAGACCCGAAGGCAAGAUCUUUGUUGCUAAAAAUGGAUCCUUUCUAGAGGAGUUUCUCUUCAAAGAAGUGAGUGGGAGGAAAGUAGAACUUGAUGAGGUAAUUGUACCUUCUCUUGAAUUGGAAAGUAGUACAUCAGAGAAAUCUGUUCCCGUGAUGCCUACACCAACUAGAGUGGAAGCUAAUGAUGAUCAUGAAACUUCAGAUCAAGUUACUACUGAACUUCGUAGGUCGACCAGAACACGAUCUGCACCAGACUGGUACGGCAAUCCUGUCCUGGAAGUUAUGUUAUUAGACCAUGGCGAACCUACAAACUAUGCAGAAGCUAUGAUGAGUCCAAAUUCCGAUAAAUGGCUUGAGGCCAUGAAAUCUGAGAUAGGAUCCAUGUAUGAGAAAAAAGUAUGGACUUUGGUGGAUUUGCCCGAUGAUCGGCAAGCCAUAGAAAAUAAAGGGAUCUUUAAUAAGAAGACUGACGCUGAUGGUAAUGUUACUGUCUACAAAGCUCGACUUGUCGCGAAAGAUUUUUGACAAGUUCAAGGAGUUGACUACGAUGAGACUUUCUCACCCGUAACGAUGCUUAAUGAUACGUCUCCAUCGUAUCUAUAAUUUUUGAUUGUUCCAUGCCAAUAUUAUACAACUUUCAUAUACUUUUGGCAACUUUUUAUACUAUUUUUGGGACUAACAUAUUGAUCCAGUGCCCAGUGCCAGUUCCUCUUUGUUGCAUAUUUUUGUUUCGCAGAAACCCCAGAUCAAACGGAAUCCAAACGUAAUAAAAACGGACGGGGAAUAUUUUUGGAAUAUUUGGAAAAUAUGGGAAGAAGAAUCAACGCGAGACGGUGCCCGAGGUGGCCACGAGACAGGGGGCGCCCCUGACCCUCGUGGGCCCCUCGUAAGGCGGUUGCUGCUAUUCUUUGGCCGCAAGAAAGCUACUUUUCGGAGAAAAAUCUGGGUGAAGGUUUCAAUCCAAUCGGAGUUACGGAUCUCCGGAUAUAUAAGAAACGGUGAAAGGGCAGAAUCCCAGAACGCAGAAACAGAGAGAGACAGAGAGACAGAUCCAAUCUCGGAGGGGCUCUCGCCCCUCCCACGCCAUGGAGACCAAGGACCAGAGGGGAAACACUUCUCCCACCUAGGGAGAAGGUCAAGGAAGAAGAAGAAGAAGGGGGGCUCUCUCCCCCUCGCUUCCGGUGGCGCCGGAGUGCCACCGGGGGCCAUCAUCAUCAUCGCAAUCUACACCAACACCUCCAUCAUCUUCACCAACAUCUCCAUCACCUUCCCCCAUCUAUCUACAGCGGUCCACUCUCCCGCAACCCGUUGUACCCUCUACUUGAACAUGGUGCUUUAUGCUUCAUAUUAUUAUCCAAUGAUGUGUUGCCAUCCUAUGAUGUCUGAGUAGAUUUUCGUUGUCCUAUCGGUGGUUGAUGAAUUGCUAUGAUUGAUUUAAUUUGCUUGUGGUUAUGUUGCUGUCCUUUGGUGCCCAUCAUAUGAGUGCGCGCGUGGAUCACACCAUAGGGUUAGUUGUAUGUUGAUAGGACUAUGUAUUGGAGGGCAAGAGUGACAGAAGCUUCAACCUAGCAUAGAAAUUGAUGCAUACGGGAUUGAAGGGGGACCAAUAUAUCUUAAUGCUAUGGUUGGGUUUUACCUUAAUGAAUGUUAGUAGUUGCGGACGCUUGCUAAUAGUUCCAAUUAUAAGUGCAUAGAAUUCCAAGUCAGGGAUGACAUGCUAGCAGUGGCCUCUCCCACAUAAAACUUGCUAUCGGUCUAGUAAAGUAGUCAAUUGCUUAGGGACAAUUUCACAACUCCUACCACCACUUUUCCACACUUGCUAUAUUUACUUUAUUGUGUUUUUAUCUAAGCAGUCCCUAGCUUUUAUUUACGUGCUCUUUAUAUUCUUGCAAACCUAUCCAACAACACCUCCAAAGUACUUCUAGUUUCAUACUUGUUCUAGGUAAAGCAAACGUAAAGCGUGCGUAGAGUUGUAUCGAUGGUCGAUAGAACUUGAGGGAAUAUUUGUUCUACCUUUAGCUCCUCGUUGGGUUCGACACUCUUACUUAUCGAAAGAGGCUACAAUUGAUCCCCUAUACUUGUGGGUUAUCAAGACCUUUUUCUGGCGCCGUUGCCGGGGAGCAAUAGCGUGGGGUGAAUAUUCUCGUGUGUGCUUGUUUGCUUUAUCACUAAGUACUCCCUCCGUUUUUCUUUUGUUUGCGUAUAAGAGGAAUCCGGGAUACCAAGGACAGCUGUUGGAGUAAAAUUCUGGACUAUUUUGCCCCUGACUUAGCAUGCGCUGCAUGGAGGAGAAUAAAUGCCGCAUGCAGUCGAGUCCCGCGCCUUCUAAUGCGCUAUGGCUGCUGAUUGGCUGCCGUUUCGUUUCUCCUCGUUCUCCCCCCCUCCCCCCCGCAUGCACAGCUCUUGAAUCAUGAAGCAUCGCUUCCCUGCACUACGUAGAGCGCCAUUUUUCUGGUUCAACGACGCAAAUUUUAGCUGUGCGCUAAUUUCCAUUCCCUCCAAAACUGUCUUGGCGCCAUGGAAUUUCAGCUAUAGCGCCAUGGACCUUUGAAACCGAGAGUAGCAUGCUUAUAAAUNNNNNNNNNNNNNNNNNNNNNNNNNNNNNNNNNNNNNNNNNNNNNNNNNNNNNNNNNNNNNCUGCUGAUUGGCUGCCGUUUCGUUUCUCCUCGUUCUCCCCCCCGCAUGCACAGCUCUUGAAUCAUGAAGCAUCGCUUCCCUGCACUACGUAGAGCGCCAUUUUUCUGGUUCAACGACGCAAAUUUUAGCUGUGCGCCAAUUUCCAUUCCCUCCAAAACUGUCUUGGCGCCAUGGAAUUUCAGCUAUAGCGCCAUGGACCUUUGAAACCGAGAGUAGCAUGCUUAUAAAUUCGUCCACGCCAUGGAAGAACUCUGCACUUUUCUCCUCUGUUUCUCACCUCUCCCGUUCCCUUCUCUGAGUAUCCGAUGGCUAAUCUGGACCUCAACGUGCCCAUAAACUUGGAUGAGGUCGACGAGCAGUACAAUGGCGAUGCGGCUGACCUGCAGUAUGUGUACGUCUUCGAAGAGGGCGACGACGGUAAGCUUCGUUCUGUACUACUCCGUCCGCCCUUUUGAUCGCAAUGACCGGUGUCCCAUUGUUUCGUAGAGCACGAUGGUGUGCAUGACGGCGGUGCCCCUGGUGGAAACAAGAGUGGUGGCAGUGGCAGCGCCCGCCAGCAACUCAUCAAAGGAUAGAUCACGAACCUUUUUACCGUCGUCGUCGCUGCCGUACUUCGCCCGCUUGUUGCCGCUGUCGCCGCCGUACUUCGCUCGCUUGUUGCCGCUGUCGCCGCCGUCGGUGAGUGCAUGCAUCAUGUCGGCGAGCGCAUGCAACGUCCCGGCGAGCGACUGCACAGUAUCGGCCAGCGAGUGGACAAUACCUGCGAGAGCUUGGACGCCCCCGUGCGCCACACGGUCGCCAUUGUGGGCCUGCACGUUCUGGCCAUCCUCCGGGAUGGCAUGGUCGACGUCGUGGCCGUCCUCCGCGAGCGCCUGCAGGUGGCCAUCGCCUGCCUCGGCGUGGCCCUCCUCUGGGCGCGCAUGGCCGACGCCACGGUGUUCCUCCGUAAGGGCUUGGACGGCGCCGUCGCCUUCCUCCUCUUGGCCGGCGCUGUCGACCACGAGCGCAUGGCCAUGUCCGUCGCCGUCCGCACCUAUCGUUUCUAUGCUGUAGAUUACUUCAUCUUCUUCGAUUGGUUGGCUCUCUCCCCACAAGCAUGGGUUGAAUCCAUCGUUUGCCAUGGGAACGAGCAGAUUGGGAGAGUGGAGGGGGCGAUUUGUGGAGGGGAGCAUAGGGAGACGAGAAGGCGAAGCGGAAGAGAGGGCUGCGCCUAGUUAAUGCAGCGGCUGCGUGGGAAGACGAAUGAGAGGGGCAGUAUUGGAAAGAUCGGGAGAAAAAAGCCUAGGCGCAGACUAAAAGCGAAAAAGGGCAAAAAGUUAUACGCAAACAAAAGAAAAACGGAGGGAGUAUUUUUUAUUUGCUGUUCUUAGUUGUUUUCUAUCUUUAGUUAUGGGUAGGAAACGCAAAAUACCAAAAAAAUUAGUUGUACCUACUGAACCAAUGGUUGAAGAACCACUCAAAAUCUAUCACACUCCUGAAGCUUUUUACUUGGAUCAUCUUCGAUCCCUUUGUGCUCGUGCUGAAACUCCAACUAGCUUAGUUGAGGGAAAAUCUUUAGAUGAGCAUGCUUGUUAUGUGCGACACCGCAUAUCUAAAAAAGGGAAACUUUUACUGGAUCAAAUUCAUCAUUUGCAAUGCUAUGCGUGGAAUUUAUGUGAAAUAUAUGAUGUUACUUGUUGUUCUGAAAACCCUAAGAAACACCUUCCCUACCAAUGUGAGUUUAUCGACAAUGGAAUCGUGUCUUCAUAUGCUAAGGGUGUUUAUAAUUACUAUGAUGUUCAACAAAUUGAAGAAUUUGUUGCUUUUAAGGGUGCUUAUGAAAUUGCUUCUUUGAUUGAAAAGUAUGAUGCUACUCUUUACAAAUCUGAAAAUUUUGCCAUACUUAAAUAUUGUUAUGAUAAUUAUGCUUCUAAUGCCUAUGUUAAACCAUAUAUCGAGGACUCCUCCGCUGUCCAAGAAGAGACUAAUAUUUUGCAGGAGUCUAUGGAAGAAGAAAUUGAUGAAACUGUGAGCUCAUUGGAUGAAAAAGAUGAGGAGGAGAGCGAAGAACAAAAGGAGGAAGAGCGGAUUGAUCACCCGUGCCCACCUUCUAAUGAGAGUAACUCUUCAACUCAUACAUUGUUUAAAUUCCCUUCGUGCUUACCGAAGGAUGAUUGCUAUGAUGACUGUUAUGAUCCCGUUGAUUCUCUUGAAAUAUCCCUUUUUGAUGAUGGUUGCUAUGCUUGUGGCCAAGAUGCCAAUAUGAAUUAUGCUUAUGGAGAUGAACUUGCUAUAGUUCCUUAUGUUAAACAUGAAAUUGUUGCUAUUGCACCCACACAUGAUAGUCCUAUUAUCUUUUUGAAUUCUCCCGGCUACACUAUAUCGGAGAAGUUUGCCUUUAUUAAGAAUUAUAUUGAUGGGUUGCCUUUUAUCGUUGCACAUGAUGAUUUUGAUAGAUAUAAUAUGCAUGUGCUUGCUGCUCCUACUUGCAAUUAUUAUGAGAGAGGAACUAUAUCUCCACCUCUCUAUGUUUCCAAUAUGAUAAAAUUGCAAGAAACUGUUUAUACUAUGCAUUGGCCUUUACUAUGUGUGCAUGAAUUGUUCUUUUAUGACAUGCCGAUGCAUAGGAAGAGAGUUAGACUUCGUCAUUGGUUGAUAUAUGUUGCCUUGUGCUCACUACUAAAUGCCAAAUCAUUGCUAAUUAAAAUUGGCUUUGAUAUACCUUGGGAUCCGGGUGGAUCCAUUACUUGAGCACUAUAUGCCUAGCUUAAUGGCUUUAAAGAAAGCGCUGCCAGGGAGACAACCCGAAAGUUUUAGAGAGUCAUUUAUUUCUGUUGAGUGCUUUUAUAUAGUUUAAAAACAAAAAAAUAAAGAGGGGAACCUAAAACCUUUUCAAAAAGGAAAGUGAAAGUGAGAAAGACGAGCAUUGUUAAAGUGGGAGCUAGCCUUGAACUUUGUUCAUGCUCACGGAAACUUUGUGAAUCUUGAUUACAGAAAAUUUUCAACAAAAAUAAUUAUCCCCUUGUACAAUUCCAUUGUAUUAUUAAAAUAAUGUGCCAAGGUUUGCCUUUAGGAUGUUUACAAUGCUUGUUGGUUUGUGCGGUGCAGGACAGAAACUUUGGCUGUAGUGCGCGAUUUUACAUUUUUUACGGGAACGUCAAAUAGUUCUGAAACUUUUUGAAAUGUAUUUAUAUACAAAUUUUUUACUUUUCCUAAUUUUGGCAGAAUUUUUGAAGUAUCAUAAGUAUGGUGAAUGUUCAGAUUAUUACAGACUGUUCUGUUUUAGACAGAAUCUGUUUUUGAUGCAUAGUUUGCUUGUUUUGAUGAAACUAUCGAUUUAUAUCAGUGGAUUAAGCCAUGAAAAAGUUAUAUUACAGUAGCUACAAUGCCAAAACAAAAUAUGAAUUGGUUUUCAAUGGUACUUAGAGUAGUGAUUUGCUUUAUUAUACUAACGGAUCUUACCGAGCUUUCUGUUGAAGUUUUGUGUGGAUGAAGUGUUCGAAGAUCGAGGAGGUCUCGAUGUGAGAAGAAGGAAGAGAGGCAAGAGCUCAAGCUUGGGGAUGCCCAAGGCACCCCAAGUAAAUAUUCAAGGAGACUCAAGCGUCUAAGCUUGGGGAUGCCCCGGAAGACAUCCCAUCUUUCUUCAACAAGUAUCAGUAUGUUUUCGGAUUCGUUUCGUUCAUGCGAUAUGUGCGAAUCUUGGAGCGUCUUUUGCAUUUAGUUUUCAUUUUUCUUUUAUGCACCAUGCUGGUAUGAGAUAGUCCUUGGUUGAUUUACAGAAUGCUCAUUGCACUUCACUUAAAUCUUUUGAGUAUGGCUUUAUAGAAUGCUUCAUGUGCUUCGCUUAUAUCAUUUGAAGUUUGGAUUGCCUGUUUCUCUUCACUUAGAAAACCGCCAUUUGUAGAAUGCUCUUUUGCUUCACUUAUAUUUGUUAGAGCGUGGGCAUAUCUUUUGUAGAAAGAAUUAAACUCUCUUGCUUCACUUAUAUCUAUUUAGAGAGAUGACAGGAACUGGUCAUUCACAUGGUUAGUCAUAAAAUCCUACAUAAAACUUGUAGAUCACUGAAUAUGAUAUGUUUGAUUCCUUGCAAUAGUUUUGCGAUAUAAAGGUGGUGAUAUUAGAGUCGUGCUAGUUGAGUAAUUGUGAAAUUGAGAAAUACUUGUGUUGAGGUUUGCAAGUCCCGUAGCAUGCACGUAUGGUGAACCGUUAUGUAACCAAAAGGUUUUGUCGAUUAUAAAGGUGCUAGCAAAGUGUGCAAGCUCCAGCGAUCCAUCUAUGGACUGGUGCAAGCAUCUCAGAGUUGAAAUAUACGCUUUGAUGAGGUGAUCAAAUCAUAUGAUUUUAUACAGACUUACAGUGAAGCCUGUAUUUACAAGAAAGUGAGUGGGAGCUCUGUAGCAUUUUUAAUAUUAUAUGUGGAUGACAUAUUGUUGAUUGAAAAUGAUAUAGAAUUUCUGGAUAGCAUAAAAGGAUAUUUGAAUAAGAAUUUUUUAAUGAAAGACCUCGGUAAAGCUACUUACACAUUGGCCAUCAAGAUCUAUAGAGAUAGAUCGAGACGCUUAAUAGGACUUUCACAAAGCAUAUACCUUGGCAAAAUUUUGAAGAAGUUCAAAAUGGAUCAGUCUAAGAAAGAGUUCUUGCCUGUGUUGCAAGGUGUGAAGUUGAGUAAGACUCAAAGCCUGACCACAACAGAAGAUAGAGAGAGAAUGAAAGUCAUUCCCUAUGCCUCAGCCAUAGGUUCUAUAAAGUAUGCCAUGUUGUGUACCAGACCUAUUGUGUGCCUUGCCAUGAGUUUGGCAAGGGGGUACGAUAGUGAUCCAGGAGUGGAUCACUGGACAUCGGUCAAAAUUAUCCUUAGUUACCUAAGAGGACUAAGGAAAUGUUUCUCGGUUAUGGAGGUGAUAAAGAGUUCGUCGUAAAGAGUUACGUCGACGCAAGCUUUGACACCGAUUCGGAUGACUCUGAGUCUCAAUCUGGAUACAUAUUGAAAGUGGGAGCAAUUAGCAUGAGUAGCUACAUGCAAAGCAUUGUAGACAUAGAAAUUUGCAAAAUACAUACAGCUCUGAAUGUGGCAGACCCGUUGACUAAACUUCUCUCACAAGAAAAACAUGAUCACACCUUAGUAAUCUUUGAGUGUUAAUCACAUGGCGAUGUGAACUAGAUUAUUGACUCUAGUAAACUCUUUGGGGUUAGUCACAUGGCGAUGUGAACUAUGGGUAUUAAUCACAUGGCGAUGUGAACUAGAUUAUUGACUCUAGUGCAAGUGGGAGACUAAAGGAAAUAUGCCCUAGAGGGACUAAUAAAGUUUUUAUUUUAUAUUUCCUUAUUAAUGAUAAAAGUUUAUUAUUCAUGCUAGAAUUCUAUUGAUCGGAAACUUAAAUACAUGUGUGAAUACAUAAACAAAUACCGUGUCCCUAGUAAGCCUCUACUAGACUAGCUUGUUGAUCAAAGAUGGUUAAGGUUUCCAAACCAUGGACAUGUGUUGUCAUUUGAUAACAGGAUCACAUCAUUAGGAGAAUGAUGUGAUGGACAAGAUCCAUCCGUUAGCUUAGCAUAAUGAUCGUUCAGUUUAUUGCUAUUGCUUUCUUCAUGUCAAAUACAUAUUCCUUCGACUAUGAGAUUAUGCAACUCCCGGAUACCGGAGGAAUACCUUGUGUGCGAUCAAACAUCACAAUGUAACUGGGUGAUCAUAAAGAUGCUCUACAGGUAUCUCCGAAGGUGUUUGUUGAGUUGGCAUAGAUCAAGAUUAGGAUUUGUCACUCCGAGUACCGGAGAGGUAUCUCUGGGUCCUCUCGAUAAUACACAUCAUAAGAAGCCUUGCAAGCAAAUGACUAAUGAGUUAGUUACGAGAUGAUAUAUUACGGAACAAGUAAAGAGACUUGCCGGUAACGAGAUUGAACUAGGUAUAGAGAUACCGACGAUCGAAUCUCGGGCAAGUAACGUACCGAUGGACAGAGCGAAUUGCGUAUGUUGUCAUAACGGUUCAACCAAUAAAGGUCUUCGUAAAAUAUGUAGGAGCCAAUAUGGGCAUCCAAGUUCCGUUAUUGGUUAUCGACCGGAGAGGUGGCUCGGUCAUGUCUACAUAGUUCUCGAACCCGUAGGGUCCGCACACUUAACGUUUGUUGGCGAUAUAGUGUUAUAUGAGUUAUAUGUUUUGGUGACCGAAUGGUGUUCGAAGUCCCGAAUGAGAUCACGGACAUGACGAGGAGUCUCGAAAUGGUCAAGAGGUAAAGAUUGAUAUAUAGAAUGAUGGUAUUUGGACACCGGAAGUGUUUCGGGACGUACCAGAAAGAAAUCGGGUCACCGAAAGGGGUUCCGGGCANNNNNNNNNNNNNNNNNNNNNNNNNNNNNNNNNNNNNNNNNNNNNNNNNNNNNNNNNNNNNNNNNNNNNNNNNNNNNNNNNNNNNNNNNNNNNNNNNNNNNNNNNNNNNNNNNNNNNNNNNNNNNNNNNNNNNNNNNNNNNNNNNNNNNNNNNNNNNNNNNNNNNNNNNNNNNNNNNNNNNNNNNNNNNNNNCCCCGGGGAAGAUAUGGGCCUUAUGGGCCAAAGGAGGGGUCAGACCAGCUCACAAGGGGGCUGGCGCGCCCCUCCUAUGGCUGGCCGGCCCUAAGGGGAAGGAAAGGGGAGGGGUGGCCCCUCCUGCCUUUCCCUCCUCAGGAGAGAAAGGAGGGGGGGCACCUCCUCCUUCCUUCCUCCCGCGCUCCAAAUAAGGAAAGGGGGGCGCGGCUUGGGAGAGACCCCAAGUAGGAUUCCCCCUACUUGGGUGCCCCCCUUGGCUGCUCCUCCCUCCCUCCCACCUAUAUAUAUGUGGGAGGGGCGCCUAGCACAUAACAAACAAUUGCCUAGCCGUGUGCGGCGCCCCCUCCACCGUUUACACCCCCGGUCAUAUUUUCGUAGUGCUUAGGCGAAGCCCUGCGGAGAUAGCUUCACCAUCACCGUCACCACGCCGUCGUGCUGCCGGAACUCAUCCACUACCUUGCCGUCUUGCUGGAUCAAGAAGGCCGAGGACGUCAUCGAGCUGAACGUGUGCUGAACGCGGAGGUGUCGUACGUUCGGUGCUCGAUCGGUUGGAACGUGACGAAGUUCGACUACAUCAACCGCGUUGUCAAACGCUUUCGCUUACGGUCUACGAGGGUACGUAGACACACUCUCCCCAUCUCGUUGCUAUGCAUCUCCAUGGAUAGAUCUUGCGUGUGCGUAGAAUUUUUUUUGUUUUCCAUGCAACGUUUCCCAACAAUAUGAUCCUAGCGUGUGGACUCGAAAGUUCGAAGGCGCAACUAUAGAUCAAUUGAGACACUCUCAAGUGAUUGGUUCACUCGUGUACUCCCUCCUUCCAUGUAUAUAGGGCCUAAUGCAGUUUUCAAGAUUGCCUUUGACUAGUGAUAAGAUUAACAAUAUAUGAGAUGUAUAAUAUGAAAAUUAUAUCAUUAGAAGCUCCUUUCACGUAUGAAUUUGAUGGUGUGCUUUGUGUAACUUCCAUGUCAUAUACUUUUGCUCUAACAUCUAGUCAAAGUUAGCCUCCAAACACGCAUUAGGCCCUAUAUACAUGGAAGGAGGGAGUACCUAGCUUGUGUUACUCGGCCAGACAUCUCAUUUGUUGUGUGCAAACUGAGCCGGUUUGUCUCCAAUCCAGGAGAUGUGCAUUGACAUGCCGUUGGGUGAGUCAUGCAUUAUUUGCAAGGUACUAUGAACUAUGGAAUUCACUAUACUGGGUUCCCGAUGGUACUUGAGGCUUUAUAGUGAUUUGAAUUGGAUAUCUGAUGCUGAUGAGAUGAAACACACGAGUGGAUAUCUUUUGUCAAAGAGUUGGCCCUCUCCGAGCCACGGUCCAUCGCUCAUCUCGCGCCCGGUGCAGCAGGACCGAGCUCGUCUCGCGCCCGGGGCUGCAGGACGGGUCGAUGGAGGCCAGUUUAGGCCAGCCUAUUGGGUCUCAACGCUGGGGGCCGCCCAGGGGUGCGAAAGGCGGGGCCUUACCGCUUGUAUCUUUGGUUGGGCUAGCGGCAAGUCUCGAGUGAGGUGGUGCCAAGGUCUUGGAUGCCGGGGUGGCGGCCCUGGUGGUGGUAGUGCGAUGCUCAUGGGCAGAGACGUGGAUCGAUGCUGCCCGGUGGCCAUGGCCAUGUGGGCAGCGUGGUCGCCGGGGUGUGGCGUUCGAUGGCGGUGAGUGUUGGCCGGGGUGAAAACUUGUUCCAUCUUCGGACGGACCGGCGGCGACGAAGCUCGUUCCCUUCUUUGGAUCGGGCGGUGGCGGCGCACCCGUGUAGUAUCCUUCUUGAAGGUGCCGCCUUGAAGCCCACAGUUCGUCGUAUGCGGCUUCAUCUCUUUGCGGUGGUGUGUUUAUGGUUGAAUCAUCCGGUUGCUCUUGUAGUGUUACGAGUGGUGUUACUGCGCUCAGCGCCUCUCUAUCCUACCUUGGGUGUGCGCAUGUGUUGUGGUGGUAUGCGUUUGUAUCGGUUUGUUGAUGAUCGUUGCUUUAUAUAUAAAGUGGGGCGAAAACUUUUUUAGGCAAAAUGACGUGCUCAGAGUUCUGCGCAAGGAGCUUGGACAUUUCCAGGAAAUACGACGGCUGGAUGCUGAUUUGGUCUGAAGCAGCCUCCCAAGUCACCAAACAGAUCGACAACAACUUCGACAAGCAUCGCACCUAUGGCGUGUCUUCUUUUGCAAAAUGGCCAUUUGUCAUAGUGAUCUUACCUCGCUUCUAUGGCGUCUCAAACUUUGUUUGCUCUUUUGUAAUAUUAGCUUUAAUAAACAUUGUGGAUUUGCAGAUCUAUAUAUGUACUGUGCUUUGAUCGACCAUUGCUGAAUGUUGGUCCCGCGCUUAAUGCGUUUGUUUAUACAGCAAACAAAUGCUUCCUCCAUCUCACAAUAUAUAUAGUGCGUAUUUGAUCCUUUUAAAGUUAAAUUUUAAUCAAAUUUAUUGAUAAAGGUGGCUGAACGGAGAAACGACAUUGAUGGUUCCUUCCAAAAAAUGUAGAUCCAGCCUUCAAGAUUGGUCUGGAGUUCCACAAUAAAGGUGGCUAUAGUUUGGGAAAUGGAUGGUCUCCUUAUAACAUUAGUUUAGACAUUCUCACAAUUAUUUUUCCCCCAAAAAGGAGGAUAUUUUCACAAGCCAGAGUCAACCAUCGCAGUUUGAAAUGCACUUCACAGAUAACUGUGGGUUCCUACGAAUCACGCCAACAAACUGACGAAUGUUAGCCUCUGACACACCUCCCAAACCUUAGUUCAGAGAUAAAGGUUGGUCGUUCAGAGAAAUUUAGUGCGAUGAACAGACACUCGAGAGCUGUGGCUGGGAUGUCGCCAGGUGCCACGGUGGUAUUAAGAUCAAUGCUGGCGAGCUCGACGGCUGCAACAUCAGGGAAGCCCUACUUAGAAACAGUGGAGUCCGCAUAAGCAGCAGCAAAUGGGCCGGGAUGCUGAACUACUGCCAGUUCAGCUUACCGUGCAGUAUUUUCUUUACUGGAAGGCCUCGCACAGGGAAAAUUGUCAUUUUGGUGUUUACUUUUGGCCUGAAAAUUUUCCCUUCUUAUUGCAUUCUCUAGUGCUUAAAUAAAAUAAAAUAUAUAAUGUGCAUAAAACCCAAAACAGCUAUUAAAAUCAUAGUAGAUGAACAGAAAUAGUAGGGAUAUAAAGCAGUACCUGAACAUACAAAAGCACAUGGCCACAACUCUCUUCAGUUCCAUCUUGUCUCCAGAUUUCGGGACUAGAUCAUCAGCACCAUCACCAGGAUCAGGCUCUUUGUGAUACAUCCACAAGCAUGGCAUCCUGGUAUGGCUUCACCUUGGCAUUCUGGUAUGGCAUCACCUUAGCAUUCAGGUUCAAUUUCUAUGCCUUGCACAAUACAUCCCUCUUUCGUAGACGUAACAACUCUAUCAUGGGAACUCUUGGAGUUCUCCCGGCGAUGCAUUCAAAGAUGCUGAUAAGCAGCAGCCCUCCAACAACAGAGGCACUUGCUAGUGAGCUUGUGACCAAUAACGGCAUCAGGUGUCCGGUUCCCGAACAAAUUCAUCUUCAUGGGAAUCAAAGAUUUUGUGGCCCCUGACUUAUUAAGAGCAAAAAAGUUAACAUCAUGGUCAGAGUGCACCAUAUGUGCCUGAAAUAUAUAAAAAAAAUGGAAUGAGUGAAUACAUAACAGCCCAUAAUUACACACCCAAAGAUGAUCAGCACAAGAAAUUUCUGUUCUAUGAGAAACGAAACAAAUGACCUUGCAAGUUAAUGAAGUAGAGUAAAUUUAGUGAUACUUCAUAUUUCAAGUCAUCAGUUCUUGGAAAAAGGGAUAUCCUCUCCCAUAUUCUAUAUGAAUAACGAGACACACAAUAUAUUCAUAUAAACCAGAAUUGGCUGCAUAGGAAAAAAACACCUACAUAUUCUACUGGUGUCAUUUCAAUCAUGAUUCUCACUCGCCACCUACGUUGAAAAAACCCAAGAAACUGCACAAAGAAGAGGUAAACAUGCUGCGUGAAGAUUGUUAACUUGUUCAUGAUCAUGAUUAUACUACUAAGGUCACAGGAAAGCAUUUGCAUUAUUUUCAGAGUCUCCAAAGGUUCUCAGCUGGCACCCCACAAAGGGCAAGCGCAACAUUGAAAUCCAAGAUGCCAUGAUUGGCUUGGCCAGGAUCAUACAAAUCACACACAAAUCGAGAAAUAACAGGCCGAUGUAGUCUCUAGAUCAAAUCCACCCACAACUUUCAGAUCUGACAUCUUCCUACUCGCAGAACUGCAGAAACUGCUGAAGUUUGAUUUGGUACAGUUUGAAAACAAUUAUUUAAACCAUAGUUGGCUUCUUGCCUAAGCAUGCUAGUACUAACCUAUUCUGCUGCAAUUACAAAUUCUGAAGUUCCCAUCCUUGCUCUGAAAAGAGCAAAUCAUACACAUAUUUAUAUCUCUGCCAUAUCUUGCUUACCAUAUACUCCCUCCGUCCCAUAAUAUAAGAGCGUGUUUUACACUAGUGUAGUGUCAAAAACGCUCUUAUAUUUUGGGUCGGAGGGAGUAUAGAUAAUUGCACACCUAAAUAAGAGACAGCUAAUUAGCAACUGCAAGCUUGCCUUCCUUUAUUCCUUUCUCUCCACAUUACAACUUUUAAGAAAAUUGCUGAAAUUAACAAAGACUAGUACUAUGUUCAGUACAAGUAUUAUAUUGCAUUGAAGUUGCAACACCAGAUUAUUCCGUUAUAGCUGCAAGCAGUCUUGGCAUUGGGGGCACAUCAAUCUCCUGUAGACCCUCGAGAACCCGGACUACUUCACCCAUGGUCGGCCGAUCCAACUCAUUAUCUUGGAUGCACCAACAUGCAACUUUGCAAAUCCUUUCAGCCUCUUCCAAGUUGAAGUCACCAUGUAACCGUGGAUCCACCAAACUCUUCAAAUCUCCACUGUGAAGCUUGCUUAUGGCUUGCACAGGGAAGUAUUCAAUAUUCUGGUUACUGUUGCUGCUGCUGGUGUUGUACGAUGUUUCAGGUGAGGAAUUCCUCCUUCCUGAUAUGAUUUCCAAUAGCACCAUGCCGAAUCCGUAAACAUCGACUUUCGGUGUGAUCGCCACUCCAGUAAGCCACUCUGGGGCAAGAUAACCCACAGUUCCUCUGAAUGAAGUCAGAAUUCGGCUGAAAUCCCUUCCCACAAACGCUGCCAACCCAAAGUCUGCAACUUUAGGAACAAAUGAUGCAUCCAGAAGUAUGUUCUCUGGCUUAAUAUCGCAGUGUAUGAUGCACUCACGACAACCCUGAUGCAAGUAGCACAAUCCUCUAGCAACUCCUAGGGAUAUCUGACAUCUGAUGUUCCAAUUCAGGACAACAACAUUUGCAUUGCUCUUCUUAAAUAGAUGACUAUCAAGAGACCCAUUUAACAUGUGUUCAUACACAAGUAAUCUGUGAUCACCUUCGCAGCAGAAACCAAUCAAUUUGACUAGGUUUAUGUGUUGGAUCAGUCCAAUUGAGCUCACCUCGGCCCUGAAUUGCUUCUCUCCUUGACGGGCACCAUCGAGCCUUUUCACUGCUAUAGUAGUCAUUGAGUCACUUAACACCCCCUUGUAUACAGAACCAAAACCACCUCCUCCAAGCUUUUCUGAGAAGCUUUUAGUAGCACGAACCAAGUGAGUGUAUCUGAAGGCUAUGAUUCCACCAGCACUACCUGGAUUGUCGUAUAUAGGCAAACCACACCACUUGAAUUUGUACCUCCAAAUCAGUAACAACAGCAUGACCAUUAUUAACCCAAAACCAAUAAUACUUACAAUGGUAACAACUCCUGCCUUUGGUUUUCUUUCGUUUUUUCUGGAACCUGGUAGCAAAUCUUUGGCAGCAAGGCGAAGAUAAAGAACAUCUUCAGAAUUAUUAUCAAUGCCAUCAUUAAGAUUUACACUAAACAAUUCCCCAUGCCAGACAGAGCAUCUGCUAUUGCUAUAGGAAUAGGCAGUGCAGGAGCAGGAACCAAGACAUGCUUCUUCACAUUUACUUUUAGUAGCAACAUCUACAAUUUGCGGGUUGUAGGGCAGUGCAACUUGAGCAAUGGGGUGGAAUAUGUCUGUUGAAUUUGUCAUGUUUUUGUUGUUACCACUAGUGCUGCAAUGUAACGGUGUGUUUCUGAUGCAUCCUCCUGUUCGAUCCUCAAACUCCAAAUCCUGCGGUGACUUCUGGGAGAAGCUCUCCAUACAGUCACAUGAUGGAUGUGCAAUGCCGUUGCAGACCGUGAAAGGUCCGCAAGUAGCAGGCGGAGUGCAGGGAUCGGCAGGCUCGGAAUAUAUGCUUUGCCAAGACUGGCUGGCUUGUGACCAAACAUUCACCUUUAUCUGACCAGAGAUGUCUAGUGAGACAAACACAGAAGACGAUGAUUCAUCCGGCGAAGUGUACAUGUAGUACUCCUCUUGGUCGUUGUCAACAUAUGCUGGGUUAAUCAAACCUUUUGUCCGGGGAUCCAAAUCUAACGUGGUCUUGAUUAAUUGCACAAGAUUCAACGAUGAUGUUCUGGAGGAUGCCCAAUGCCAGUACACUACCGAGGGGUUGCGAUGCUUGAGGACGAUCCCGGUGCUGUCUAGUUCAAUGCUGUAUGACCCUAGACCCAGAUCAAUGAGGCUUUUCUUUGAUAUGUACUGACGAAUGAAACCGGGGACCUUGUUCCGGCCUAACUUGGCACCAGGAAGCGCAACAUCUGUUGGGUAGUCAAAGCUCUGCCACAACAUGUCUUGGCUAUUUGCGAGUAGGGCAAGGUUACCACUGUUCAAGAGAACAACGGCUAUAGAGGCGGUGGUGUUUAUGCUACUAGUUUUCCUAUUGACAAUGUGAGUGGACCAAACAAUGGAUUCAGUUUUGGCGGCAUGGUUUAUGAUGACAAGAUUGUCAUCGCUUGAGAUCUUGAGCUGUGUCAGGUUGAGAUUGGGGUGGGUGAUGGGCUCCUCUCUAUUAGCAACCCACACGGUAGUGAAAACGGGGAUCUUAUUGAACCAUAUGCCAAGGUACCAGCUGGAGCUGGGGGAGGUGGCAUUGCGGGACGACUUACUGAUGCUGCUUGCUGCUGGCUGGAAGAAGCCAAGGGCGAACUUGCCGUUUCUUGAGACGAGCUUGUCACCAACGCCGAGCGCUUGGCCUGCCGUGAGAGUGUCUUCAGUGGCAGCUGCAGAGGAGCACCAAGGAGCAGUGUGCAAGAGGAGAAGCCCGAGUAGUAUGUAGAGGGGAGGCAUGCUGAAGAAGUGUGAAUAAUUUAGACAAGAAGAGUAGGUGCAUAUAUAGAAUGGAAGGCCAAGUGUUCAGCAGACUGAAGCUGACGGGGAAGUCAAGUAAGUUCACAUUGGGACAGAAUAAGCAUAAAUACACAACAGUGGUACCAUAAAUACAAAACUGUGGUACCAUAAAUACAAGGCUGUACUACCAUAAUUGCAAGGCAGGACAUUCAAUGGACCAUGGUCAGGUCAAUCACGAGGCUUUCACCAAGCUUACUAUUCACCAACCUUUGUAUUAAUAUUAACCCAAACCAGAAAAGGUACCUCACAUAUUAGAGGGGAGGGCUAUCUUUGAAUAGAACUUUUCAAAACACUUUUACUAACCAACCAACAAAAUAUUUUCUUCAAUGCAUAGUCGAACACUACAAAUGCAAAUUCAAGGCAUAUCAACACAGAAGAUCAACAAAAGCCCCCUCCCCAGAAAAGUACUACUCCCUCCGAUCCAUAUUACUUGUUGCUCAAAUGGAUGUAUCUAGAUGUAUUUCAUUGCUAGAUACAUCCAUUUGAGCGACAAGUAAUAUGGAUCAGAGGGAGUACCACAAAAAUACGAUAAUGUUGUAAGCUAAAGUCGGUACUGAAAUUUCAACUUAUGCCUAGACAAGCUUUGAAACCGUCCCUAUCUAGCAGAAUAGGACCAUACUUUCAGUGGACCAUAGCUUAUCUACGAGGACUUUCAGUGGACCAUACUUACCAUUCAUCAACCCUCAUGGCAAUGGCUUCAAUGAGCAUGGCGGGCUGGCAGAAUAGGGGAAAUGGCAACACACAGAACAGUAGCGCUCUGUUUUUGAGGGAGAAAAAUCAUCAAUAUAAUGCUAGAUGUAGUUUGGCAAUGUCGGCAAAUCCUACAUAAGUAACAGCAAGGGAGCUUCCUUCUAUAUCUCAUCCAGUCCAUUGCUACAACUGGAAGUAUAUAUGUCAAGAACCCUCAUGGCAUGCUGCUUAUCAGUCAGUGGUCACUGGUCAGCCAACAACGCAAUCGCUUGAACGACCAUGGUAUUAGCCUAAACCAGAAAGAAAAAACACCUCACUUGUAUGAGGGUUAUAUUCUACAAAUACAAAUUCCACGUAUAUACAGAAGCUCCUUAGAAAGACAAACAAAAGUAUGACCACAGAAAUAAAACAAAUGCUGUGAGCUGCAGUUGGCAAACUUAAAACACAUAUGUGCUACAGAAGCUUCAGGGUGAUCUACAGCUUCAUCGAUUUCAAGUCGCUUUCUCUAGUUCAACCCCUGUUAGACUGGUUGCUUCAUCCUUUUGUUUGAGCCCCUUGUUUAAACCUUCUUUUUUUAUUUUAUUUUUUGCCUAAGGACAUGUAAAUCAUGUACACCUUUUUUUAUCUAUAAAAAAUCACACUCCAGGGGUUUCCCCUGUGGUAUUUCAGUCAAGAAAAGGAAAAGGAACGGUGGUAGUAGUGGCAAUAUCAGAGUGCCAGGCCCACCUCUUCAGGACUGAUAUUUAACUUAUACCUACACAAGCAAUGGCACCAUCCUAGGUUCUUGGACCAUGCUCCAACCCAGACAUAAGAUUCAUCAAGCCCUCUCAUUAGAUCACAUGCCUACUGUGAAGAGUCAAAUCUUCCCCUCGGUGAACAUGUAAGUGCGAAAGGUUAAUCUACAGAAGGUCAGAAAGAAAGCACCUAACAGGCAAAAUUUUCUUUUAUAGCAUUGCCAAGUUCAGGAUAAAGGAAAUACAGCAUACAUCGAUAUAUCUAAAAGCAGAGCAUCUAGAGAACAGGCUGCUCCUCUAUUGUCAGAACAGGAAAUAUGGCAACAAAUAGAACAGCAAGGAAUAAACGAUCUUUUUUCAAGAUGAGUUGGACCUGCAAUAGUUGGGAAAAUACAAUUUUGUACAGCGUGUGGGAAGAGAAGAGAAGAGAAGAGAGAGCUCACCACCACCAGCCAACCAUUUCUCAGCUUGUAGAACCAGAGGUAGAAAGACCGUCGUACAGCAAAUAAUAUGCUAAUGGAAAAGAGAGCUCCAUUUCCAUGCCUGCGGCAAUAGCGAGGAACUUCUAACAGCACAUGUCAACUACAGAAAGAAAUACUCCUGUUAGAAAUUGACCAGGAUUAGGAGUAGCAUUCUUCAAGAUUCAACUAGUUGACCAAGAUUCAGACUUAUGCAGUAGUAUGACCGUAUGAAACUAUGAGUUGACCAAGAUUCAACUAGUCUGAUGUGGUAUAUGAGACGAGAGGAGGGGCUAACCGAACCUGCGGAGGAGAAAGUGGUCGUUGAGGCGCUCGAGCUUGCCGGCGUCGAAGCGGACGGCUGGUCGUGGUCGUCGUAGAGGUGAGGCCCGCGUCACUCCCCAUUCGCCCUGCCAAGCUCUACGGCCGCCUGCAGGCCGAACAUUGCUCGCUGGCAUACUCUCUCCGGCCGCCGCCGCCGCCGCCGCCGCCGCGGCGAGGCUGGGAGGCGACGGCGGAGGGGUCGGAGGAGAGAGAGAGAGAGAAGAACGGGGCGUUUCAUGAAUGGGCCGGCAUUGAGAGGGCCUGCUGGGCUGGGCCUUCUGUGGGCAAUCACACUGACUGUGUGUAAUAUGGAGACAUCGACGCACUACUCACAUGCUAAAAAAUUAUUCUCUCAUCUUUCAAAAAAUAAAUUUAAAUGUUUAAAAAAUAUAUGAAUAAAUUUUUCACAGCACAUGUAUCUAUAAUAUCUAAAAAAUUCAAAUCCAAACUCAAGAUACGAAUGCAGAAUUUUUUCUAGGGACCGUAGACACACGUUGUGAACGUUAAAAACAUCAUAAUUUUUUGAUUUCUUUUAAGUUGGGAGCUUGGGAGCUGUGACGCCUCCGAUUCAAUCGUACACUAAUCAUACACGUAAACGUGUACGAUCAAGAUCAGGGACUCACGGGAAAAUAUCACAACACAACUCUAAAAUAAAAAUAAGUCAUACAAGCAUCAUAAUACAAGCCAGGGGCCUCGAGGGCUCGAAUACAAGUGCUCGAUUAUAGACAAGUCAGCGGAAGCAACAAGAUCUGAGUACAGACCUAAGUUAAACAAGUUGCCAUAAAAUGGCUAGCACAAACUGAGAUACAGAUCGAAAGAGGCGCAGGCCUCCUGCCUGGGAUCCUCCUAAACUACUCCUGGUCGUUCGCGUCCUGAACGUAGUAGUAGGAACCCUCGGUGUAGUAGGGGUCGUCGUCGACGGUGGCGGCUGGCUCCUGGGCUCCAACACCUGGUUGCGACAUCCGAGAAAAAAAGGAAAAGGGGAAAAGGGGGAGCAAAACAACCGCGAGUACUCAUCCAAAGUACUCGCAAGCAAGGAUCUACACUACAUAUGCAUGGGUAUCUGUGUAAAGGGGCAAUAUCGGCGGACUGAACUGCAGAAUGAUAGAAUAAGAGGGGGAUAGCUAGUCCUGUCGAAGACUACGCUUCUGGCAGCCUCCAUCUUGCAGCAUGUAGAAGAGAGUAGAUGGUAAGUUCAUCAAAUAUCAUCGGAUAGCAUAAUCCUACCCGGCGAUCCUCUCCUCGUCGCCCUGUGAGAGAACGAUCACCGGGUUGUAUCUGGCACUUGGAAGGGUGUGUUUUAUUAAGUAUCCGGUUCUAGUUGUCAUAAGGUCAAGGUACAACUCCGGGUCGUCCUUUUACCGAGGGACGCGGCUAUUCGAAUCGAUAAACUUCCCUGCAGGGGUGCACCACAUUACCCAACACGCUCGAUUCCUCUGGCCGGACACACUUUCCUGGGUCAUUGUCCUGCCUCGGAAGAUCAACACAUCGCAGCCCUACCUAGGCACAACAGAGAGGUCAGCACGCCGGUCUAAAUCCUAUGCGCGCAGGGGUCUGGGCCCAUCGCCCAUUGCACACCUGCACGUUGCGAACGCGGCCGGAAGCAGACCUAGCCCCCUUAAUACAAGCGCAGGCUCACGGUCCAAUCUGGCGCGUGCCGCUCAGUCGCUGACGUCAAGAAGGCUUCGGCUGAUACCACGACGUCAGUGCCCAUAACUGUUCCCGCGUAGUUGGUUAGUAUGUAUAGGUCAGUCGCCAGAACCAGAUCAAAUACCAAGAUCUCGUUAAACGUGUUAAUUGAUGUAACCGCAGACGCCGACCAGGGCCAGGCCCACCUCUCUCCUAGGUGGUCUCAACCUGCCCUGUCGCUCCGCCACAAAGUAACAGUCGGGGGUCGUCGGGAACCCAGACCCACCACUACCUGGAUGGAACCACCUGCCCCUUCAGCCCCCACAUCGAAGUCACUUGCGGGUACUCUACGAGCCGACCCGACUUUAGUCACCACCUGUAUAGUAUGUAUGUAUGUAUUUAUAUACCCGUGGAUCACCUCCCGAGUGAUCACGGCCCGAUAGUAUAGCAUGGCAGACAGACAAGGAUGUAGGGCCACGGAUGAAGUACUAGCAACCUAUACUAGGCAUGUAGGAUUGCAGGUAAAGGUAUCAACAAUUGUAGCAACAAUGACAGGCUACGCAGCAGAAUGGGAUUAACCGAAAGCAGUAACAUGCUACACUACUCUAAUGCAAGCAGUAGAGAGAAGGAAUAGGCGAUAUCAGGUGAUCAGGGGGGGAGGGGGCUUGCCUGGAAGCUCAGCCGAGAAAGAGGGGUCGUCAACACCGUAGUCGUACUGGGUAGCAGCGGCGUCGGUCUCGGUGUCUAACGAGAGAAGAGGGGGAAGAAACAAUAAAUAUAAUGCAAACAUAUGCAUGACGACGCAUGACAAGACAAUGAGCGGUGCUAGGUGUGCCCUAACGCAGUGCUACACGAUACCGAGGAAGGGGGAACCCAUCCGGGAAAGUUUUCCCGGUUCCGGACUAAUGUUGAACAAGUGACCAGAGAGGGAAUGUUCCAGGUUCGGAUAGUUAGAGGUAUCCGACGGUUAUGUGGGUAGUGUAUGGUGGUUCGACUCAUCGUUCUAAGCAACUUUCAUGUACAAAGCAUUUUCAUCCUAGCUACGUAUUAUUUUACAUUAAUUUUUAAAGUUUUAAUCAAUUUCUAAAUUAUUAUUAUUGAAUAAAUUCAAAAAUAGCAUUACUGCCUCAGCAUGAUGUCAGCAUGACGUCAGCAGUCAACAGAGGUGUUGACUGGGCCAAACUGACGUGUGGGUCCGCAUGUCAUUGACUGAGAUUAACUAAACAGGUUAAUUAGUUUAAUUAGUGAUUAGGUUAAUCUAAUUAGGAUUAAUUAAGUUAAUAAUUUUUUACUUAUUAUUAUUUUUAAAAUUCUUUUUUAUGUUUUCGUUCUGGGCGCAUGGGGCCCAAAUGGCAGGGGGCCAUCUGGCCUAACGGGCGCUGGGCGCCAGCGGGCGCCCGACCAGGCGAGGGCCGAGCGCGCGCAGAUGGGCGCCGGCACCGGGCGAUGACCGGGGCUGCGGCGAGGCCGGCCGGGAACGGCUCCGGCGAGGCCGACCGAGUGCCGGACUACAACAGAGGACGACGGGGGUCGCGCGAGGGGGCGGGCUGCAGGCUGCGGCAGCCUGGGCGUGGGCGCAUCAGCAGAGCAGUGGUAAUGGGGCGUGCGGUCAGAGCGGCAGGGGCGAGUGUGAAGCAGUAGCGCGGCCGUGGCAGGCGAGCAGCGACGGGGGAAGCAGCAGGCGAGUGAGGCCGCGUCGGGGGCGCGCGAUCGUGAGCUGCGGUCGGCGCAGACGAGCAAGUGCGCGCGCGGGGCGGCUCGAGCGGCAGUAGCAGGUGCGACAUCAGCAACAGCAGCGCAACUAGCAGCGGCCUCAGGUAGUUGCAGCGCGAGGAGCAGGGGCGCGGGGCGAUGGCCGGUGCGGGGGUCGCGGUGNNNNNNNNNNNNNNNNNNNNNNNNNNNNNNNNNNNNNNNNNNNNNNNNNNNNNNNNNNNNNNNNNNNNNNNNNNNNNNNNNNNNNNNNNNNNNNNNNNNNNNNNNNNNNNNNNNNNNNNNNNNNNNNNNNNNNNNNNNNNNNNNNNNNNNNNNNNNNNNNNNNNNNNNNNNNNNNNNNNNNNNNNNNNNNNNNNNNNNNNNNNNNNNNNNNNNNNNNNNNNNNNNNNNNNNNNNNNNNNNNNNNNNNNNNNNNNNNNNNNNNNNNNNNNNNNNNNNNNNNNNNNNNNNNNNNNNNNNNNNNNNNNNNNNNNNNNNNNNNNNNNNNNNNNNNNNNNNNNNNNNNNNNNNNNNNNNNNNNNNNNNNNNNNNNNNNNNNNNNNNNNNNNNNNNNNNNNNNNNNNNNNNNNNNNNNNNNNNNNNNNNNNNNNNNNNNNNNNNNNNNNNNNNNNNNNNNNNNNNNNNNNNNNNNNNNNNNNNNNNNNNNNNNNNNNNNNNNNNNNNNNNNNNNNNNNNNNNNNNNNNNNNNNNNNNNNNNNNNNNNNNNNNNNNNNNNNNNNNNNNNNNNNNNNNNNNNNNNNNNNNNNNNNNNNNNNNNNNNNNNNNNNNNNNNNNNNNNNNNNNNNNNNNNNNNNNNNNNNNNNNNNNNNNNNNNNNNNNNNNNNNNNNNNNNNNNNNNNNNNNNNNNNNNNNNNNNNNNNNNNNNNNNNNNNNNNNNNNNNNNNNNNNNNNNNNNNNNNNNNNNNNNNNNNNNNNNNNNNNNNNNNNNNNNNNNNNNNNNNNNNNNNNNNNNNNNNNNNNNNNNNNNNNAAAAAUUACCACUAGUACCUAAAUUUGUAUCUAUAGACAAACUACUGUCAGACUAAUUCUUAACCCAUAAUAAAUUAGUUUUAAUAUUUCAUAAAUUUCCAUAGGCAUCUGUUUUAUUGUUUUCACUGAUGUUUUAAUUAUUUUAGUGCAUUUGAAUUCUUUACGGAAGUGUGGUUUCUUUACUAUAAUUACUUACGCAUUAUUUGGCACAACCCAAACAUUUUAAUUUUAACGUUUGAAAACUUGAAUCGUUUGACUUUAAUUCAAAUUUAGAUUUGAACCGGUUUUGAACUAACACGAGAUUAACAACAGUAACGGAGGUGACGUGGCAUCAUUAGUAGAGGUUUACUGUAGCUUAAUUAUCCGGGCGUCACAAUUCUCCUCCACUACAAGAAAUCUCGUCCCGGGAUUUAAGAGGCGGAGUAAAGGGGGAAGGUUCUGGUUACGAAAUUCUAGCGAGUGUUCUCGGUCUUGGUUGCUCUUCUCGAAGAGGUUGAUCCAUUACGUGAGGUCUUCAUUUUGCUGCUUCGGGUCAUCAUGAUGAAUUCAUCUUCCUUUCUUCAGGAACUCCAUCGUACGUACGAAGGUCAAGGGUUAACUUCGGAAGAACGGGCCGCUACAAUGUUGCUUAUCUGGUAGAUAACAUCAGGAAAGGUGGCGGAAAGUAACUCUCGAAUUGAUACUUAAGAAAUUAUCGAGAGCAAAGUAAGAAGGUGCAAAAUGGAAGUUUCAAGCGCAUAGGCAAUCGUUUGUUGCCUGAAACAAAGUGUGAAAGGGGUUUAGAGCAAUGGGAAUAAGCAUUGCGUCUGAUACCAGAAUAGAUCACUAGGCAGGUGGCCCGUGAAUUACAUACAAAGUCAAGCGCGAGGAAUAACUUUGACAAAUGGGUGUACAGGAGAGUCAAGUUUCGAUCCUGUGGAACUAUGGGUUAUUGGCCCACCAUGUGGGUUAAAAGUAGAAAGAGCGGUGACAUCUUGCAAGGAUAUGAUAGUAAGGCAGGUCAGAGGAUAGCCUGCCAGUUAUGAUGGCAACAAUGCUGGUACCAAGGGCGAGGGACGAAGAGAACCAUUUUCCUGCUCGUUGAAACCAGGCGGACCAAUAGGCAGAGUUCUCGUCCAUCGGUGGUUACCGGAAUGUUGUCAACAAUAGUAACAGUGUCUUACUGACAAAGUUGUACACCGAGGUGUUUACAUAAGCAGAGAAAUAUUACUACUUAUAUCAUAUAGAUCACCAGAAAGGUUAACAAAACAAUGGAAAGGAAAAUGUGAUUAUUAUGUUAAUCAGACCAAUGGAAAGGAAAGGUGUUUAUACUCAAGUAUUAGAGUACAUCCUUCCAAAGGACAAGCAGAGAUUGAUAUUCACAACAAGAUAACAAGUAGAAACCAUUUGGGUAGAGGAGCAACGAAACUCAUAAUGUUACCCAUACAAUGGUGUUUGGAUAUUUGGUCAAGAAACAUUUAGCAUUAUGCUUCCAAUGUUAUUGUUGAAGAUCGGAGUACCACGGACAUGCUCCGAGAUAGCAUUGACAUGGUCUUCAAGCAAAGGUCAGACUUUGAUACUCAAAGGAUUCAUCAGGAACAACUUAUAGAAUAAGUCUUACAAUUUCCUCAUGGAAGAAUGGUUAACCUUGCUAAAAAGAAAGAAUUAUAAUAAAAGGUCCUCCGGCCAGGUGUGCUAGGCAUGACAUCACCUUACCGGGUCAUGUAAAGAUGUUAUAACUCCUGGAAAUAUGUCCCAACCAUCAUAUCUAACCGAGAUUCAGAUCUGAUUGGUGUCAGGAUACCUCGGACUCAGGAUGCUUGAGAAGAAGAGGUGCAGCACAAAUCGACGAGAUGACAUUAUAAGAUUCUCGGGAAAUGAACUAUAGAAGCAAGUUCCAAAACAAAAGUUCAUCAUUAACCAAGGAGAAAAUGAGGAUGUGGCCGAUGAACUCAGCGACAACUCAUCGAGAUUUCCAAAAGAUGGAUUUCCACAAUUAUGUGAACAAGGAGAUAACAUUUGUCAGACCAAAUGAUAUAAUGAGGUAUGCUCGAGGAAAACAUAUGCAAUUAACCAUUGGUUGAAAAGCGGACCCGAAAUAUGGGCUUAGAUCGCAUGAUCAAUGUUAGAAUGGUGAUUCAAUAACCAAUAGUCUAAGAAUGAACUGUCGACCAUUAACUUCAAAGCAAUAGGGUUGCUAGAAGUUUUGAAUCCGCACCUCAUAGUUCAAUUGUCGGUUUUCCAGUUAGAAACAACACGGGCACCAAGGAACGAACGGAGAUGGCAAGAGGUAUCACUUGUGUCAAGAAUUCUUAAAGAGGUGGUGAAAUCCUCACGUCAUUCUUAACAUAAAAGAUGGUAAUACUCCAAGGUAAAGAAGAACAAAUGCUGGAUAACAAGGAACUCAAGGUAUAACACAGAACACGAACAAGUUUGUGUUGGAGGGAAGGCAAUAAAGUGGUCAAUGAAAACACAAAUCAUCGAGGGCAAGGAUGGUAUUUCUCAUCAUGAGUUCAAUUGAUAUCCUGGAAGAGCUCGGAAUGCUGAUGAUGAUCUCAAUACAUUUGUCAAGAGGUUUCAUGAAGAUGUAAUCAAUCAGCGACGACAUCAAGCAAAAGCAAUGGUGAAGCGAAGGGUUAUUGGAACCACGGAUACGACACAAACUCGAAAUCAAUCUUGAUGUUCAUGGAGAAUUGAUAUGAUGAGGAAGAUCGACGCAAGAUUAGCUCGUCAUCGAAAAUUGUGCUCCGAGAAAAAGGACCAGGUAGCACAGUUAAAAAAUUAGCACGAUAAUGUUAUAGCCGAUCAGGCUAGGAAUGACUUGAAGGAUUAUUAAACUCGUAAGCAACAACAAAUUUACUUAAGAGUUUCUGAAUGGGAGUGCGAAAUCGAUUCACUUAUCGGUGUUCUCGAGUGACUAAUAACUCAGAACCCGGGGAAAAUCUAAAAUCGUUGAGAAGCAAUACUAGAUGAAGACUUAUAGGAAGCAACACAGUUCUUUGAUAUUCUCGAUAUACCGGAGGGUAAUAAUCGAAGGAAGAUCAAAAUAAAGGUUGCGGAGAUGUAUUGAUCAACAGAAGACAAGUGCUUUAACUUGUCUGAGAAAUGGAAUCAAAGAAUAUCAUUAUGGCCGGAAACACGAUUGCAAAAGACCAGGUCCCAGAUAUAAGAUGAACUUAUACAAAGGGAAUAAUUAAUUUAAGAGAAGCUUCCAUGAUAAGAUCACAUCGUGUCCAUGGGCAUGAACACAAAAUUCAAGGUCGACUCCCACUUCUCCAAUGCAUAACCUUUCAUUCACUUCUCGCGUUCGAUGAAGUUGUAGUGUUGAAAUUUUAUCUGGCAAAAUACCAGAAGAGUAUGACUCGUGAAAACUUUCGAGUUCACACAUAUUAAGGAAGGCAUAGGUCCAACCCAUCGGGGCAUCGAGGAAACAUAUACCACAAGCUUCAAUGGUAAUUAUCACCAGCUCGAAAGUAGAGCAUGAUUGGCCAAAUCAGAGAAUAGGAAUUACCAAUGGCAUUAUGUAUCAGAGAAAGAACUUCUUGAUGUUUUUGUAUACGAAAGACACUGUCAGAUGGUAAUUCAACAAAGGAUCUGACGGUCCAUAACGGGGCUGAUGUGAGCAUCGGCACACGAUCAGAGGACGAAACAAAGCAAAGGUCUUGGAUUAUAAAAACAAUAGACUAAUUCAAAGCUCAAAUGCAAAGGAAUUAUGAUUUCCAAAUCAAGGGAUCAUAAGAAAAUGCUCUGAUUAAGGAUGGAUAAGUCGGGUAGGCUUAGGGGUACAAUCGAUGACAAUUUGAUUGGUCGCGAACAAUCUCAUGUUCAAACUGACACUUAGCCGGAAGGAUGAAUUCUAGGAUUCGACUGAGGAAUGCGAGCAUCCUCAACAUAUUGAAUCAACUAACUAAAAAUGAUAAAGACAAGGGAUGCCAAUAAGAUUAUGGGACUUAUGGGAUUAACCAUAAUGCAAGCAAGCAAGAAUUUCAAGAGCAAUAUGCUGCUCAGGAUUUUCGGAAGACCGAAUGGUAUUUCGAAGACUUUUGUAAAACACAUGAUCAACAGGGAAUGAGCGGAUACUCGAUAAGUGCGAGGAAUUAUCCGUAGGGGUAUUUCUGUGGCAAAGAACUGCAAGGCAGUAGGCACAAAGUAUUCUUGGAACAAUAGAGAGGAUUUCGAGGUAUCUUAUAAUAACAAGAUCAAUGGGGAAUGAUUGUAUGAAUGGCAAGUGUACAUGGUUAUCCAUAGAGGUUUAUCGAUGGAUGGGAAUUGCAAAAGCGAUGGCACAAAGUCUCGAGAGAACAUCAUAGGGUAUCCUCGGAAUCUUCUGGUGCAGCAGACGAUCAUCUGGACUGAAGGGGCUCUCCAGGAGAAAGUAGUUACGAGAACCUAGAGUUAGAUUUAGUAAAAUCAUUUAACCCGAAUAGAAGAGAGAUCAGAGUCCCAGAGUAUAGACGAGGAGUAAAAGAUCCUAUUACCACCCAAUGGCGACGUGGGCCUGUAAGACACACAACCAUGUUAGUAAAAGUUUUGCAAUGUCUAGACUCGACUUCGGCCAAGGAGUGUGGAAGGGGGAUUCCUACAGGCAGUUGGCUCUGAUACCAACUUGCGACGCCUUCGAUUCAAUCGUACACUAAUCAUACACGCAAACAUGUACGAUCAAGAUCAGGGACUCACGGGAAGAUAUCACAACACAACUCUAAAAUAAAAAUAAGUCAUACAAGCAUCAUAAUACAAGCCAGGGGCCUCAAGGGCUCGAAUACAAGUGCUCGAUCAUAGACGAGUCAGCGGAAGCAACAAGAUCUGAGUACAGACCUAAGUUAAACAAGUUGCCAUAAGAUGGCUAGCACAAACUGGGAUACAGAUCGAAAGAGGCGCAGGCCUCCUGCCUGGGAUCCUCCUAAACUACUCCUGAUCGUCGGCGGCCUGAACAUAGUAGUAGGCACCCUCGGUGUAGUAGGGGUCGUCGUCGACGGUGGUGGCUGGCUCCUGGGCUCCAACAUCUGGUUGCGACGUCCGAGAAAAAAAUGGAAAAGGGAAAAAGGGGGAGAAAAGCAACUGUGAGUACUCAUCCAAAGUACUCGCAAGCAAGGAUCUACACUACAUAUGCAUGGGUAUCUGUGUAAAGGGGCAAUAUCGAUGGACUGAACUGCAGAAUGCCAGAAUAAGAGGGGGAUAGCUAGUCCUGUCGAAGACUACGCUUCUGGCAGCCUCCAUCUUGCAUCAUGUAGAAGAGAGUAGAUGGUAAGUUCACCAAGUAUCAUCGCAUAGCAUAAUCCUACCCAGCGGUCCUCUCCUCGUCGCCCUAUGAGAGAACGAUCACCGGGUUGUAUCUGGCACUUGGAAGGGUGUGUUUUAUUAAUUAUCCAGUUCUAGUUGUCAUAAGGUCAAGGUACAACUCCGGGUCGUCCUUUUACCGAGGGACACGACUAUUCGAAUAGAUAAACUUCCCUGCAGGGGUGCACCACAUUACCCAACACGCUCGAUCCCUCUGGCCGAACACACUUUCCUGGGUCAUGCCCGGCCUCGGAAGAUCAACACGUCGCAGCCCUAUGAUAUGUCUCCAACGUAUCUAUAAUUUUUUAUUGUUCCAUGCUAUUAUAUUAUCUGUUUUGGAUGUUUAAUGGGCUUUACUAAGCACUUUUAUAUUAUUUCUGGGACUAACCUAUUAACCGAAGGCCCAGUGCAAAUUGCUGUUUUUUUUGCCUAUUUCAGUGUUUGGCAGAAAAGGAAUAUCAAACAGAAUCCAAACAGAAUGAAACCUUCGGGAGAGUUAUUUUUGGAACAAAUGUGAUCCAAGGGACUUGGAGUGGACGUCAAGAAAGAAGCGAGGAGGCCACGAGGCAGGGAGGCGCGCCUGCCCCCUGGGCGCGCCCCCCACCCUCGUGGGCCCCUCGCAGCUCCACCGACCUACUUCUUCGUCCUAUAUAUAUAUAUAUCCAUAUACCCGGAAAACAUCCAGGAGCACCACAAAACCCUAUUUCCACCGCCGCAGCCUUCUGUACCCGUGAGAUCCCAUCUUGGGACCUUUUCCGGCGCUCCGCCGGAGGGGGAAUCGAUCACGGAGGGCUUCUACAUCAACACCAUAGUCUCUCCGAUGAUGUGUGAGUAGUUUACCACAGACCUUCGGGUCCAUAGUUAUUAGCUAGAUGGCUUCUUCUCUCUCUUUGGAUCUCAAUACAAAGUUCUCCUCGAUCUUCUUGGAGAUCUAUUCGAUGUAAUUCUUUUUGCGGUGUGUUUGUCGAGAUCCGUUGAAUUGUGGGUUUAUGAUCAAGAUUAUCUAUGAACAAUAUUUGAAUCUUCUCUGAAUUCUUUUAUGUAUGAUUUGUUAUCUUUGCAAGUCUCUUCGAAGUAUCAGUUUGGUUUGGCCUACUAGAUUGAUCUUUCUUGCAAUGGGAGAAGUGCUUAGCUUUGGGUUCAAUCUUGCGGUGUCCUUUCCCAAUGACAGCAGGGGCAGCAAGGCACACAUUGUAUUGUUGCCAUCGAGGAUAAAAAGAUGGGGUUUAUAUCAUAUUGCUUGAGUUUAUCCCUCUACAUCAUGUCAUCUUGCCUAAUGCGUUACUCUGUUCUUAUGAACUUAAUACUCUAGAUGCAUGCUGGAUAGCGGUUGAUGUGUGGAGUAAUAGUAGUAGAUGCAGAAUCGUUUUGGUCUACUUGUCGCGGACAUGAUGCCUAUAUACAUGAUGAUGCCUAGAUAUUCUCAUAACUAUGCACUUUUCUAUCAAUUGCUCGACAAUAAUUUGUUCACCCACCGUAAUACUUAUGCUAUCUUGAGAGAAGCCACUAGUGAAACCUAUGGCCCCCGGGUCUAUUUUCCAUCAUAUAAGUUUCCAAUCUAUUUUACUUUGCAAUCUUUACUUUAAAUCUAUAUCAUAAAAAUACCAAAAAUAAUUAUCUUAUUAUCUCUAUCAGAUCUCACUUUUGCAAGUGGCCGUGAAGAGAUUGAAAACCCCUUUAUCGCGUUGGUUGCAAGGUUCUUAUUUGUUUGUGUAGGUACGAGGCGACUUGCGUGUAGUCUCCUACUGGAUUGAUACCUUGGUUCUCAAAAACUGAGGGAAAUACUUACGCUACUUUGUUGCAUCACCCUUUCCUCUUCAAGGGAAAACCAACGCAGUGCUCAAGAGGUAGCACCCUACCUAGGCACAAUAGAGAGGUCAGCACGCCGGUCUAAAUCCUAUGCUCGCAGGGGUCUGGGCCCAUCGCCCAUUGCACACCUGCACGUUGCGAACGCGACCGGAAGCAGACCUAGCCCCCUUAAUACAAGCGCAGGCUUACGGUCCAAUCUGACGCGCGCCGCUCAAUCGCUGACGUCAAGAAGGCUUCGGCUGAUACCACGACGUCGAGUGCCCAUAACUGUUCCCGCGUAGUUGGUUAGUGCGUAUUGUUGGAAAUAUGCCCUAGAGGCAAUAAUAAAUGGUUAUUAUUAUAUUUCUUUGUUCAUGGUAAUUGUCUAUUAUUCAUGCUAUAAUUGUAUUGUCCGGAAAUCGUGAUACAUGUGUGAAUACAUAGACCACAACGUGUCCCUAGUAAGCCUCUAGUUGACUAGCUCGUUGAUCAACAGAUAGUCAUGGUUUCCUGACUAUGGACAUUGGAUGUCAUUGAUAACGGGAUCACAUCAUUAGGAGAAUGAUGUGAUGGACAAGACCCAAUCCUAAGCAUAGCAUAAAAGAUCGUGUAGUUUCGUUUGCUAGAGCUUUUCCAAUGUCAAGUAUCUUUUCCUUAGACCAUGAGAUCGUGCAACUCCCGGAUACCGUAGGAGUGCUUUGGGUGUGCCAAACGUCACAACGUAACUGGGUGACUAUAAAGGUGCACUACGGGUAUCUCCGAAAGUGUCUGUUGGGUUGGCACGGAUCGAGACUGGGAUUUGUCACUCCGUGUGACGGAGAGGUAUCUUUGGGCCCACUCGGUAAUGCAUCAUCAUAAUGAGCUCUAUGUGACUAAGGCGUUAGUCACGGGAUCAUGCAUUACGGUACGAGUAAAGAGACUUGCCGGUAACGAGAUUGAACAAGGUAUUGGGAUACCGACGAUCGAAUCUCGGGCAAGUAACAUACCGAUUGACAAAGGGAAUUGUAUACGGGAUUGAUUGAAUCCUCGACACCGUGGUUCAUCCGAUGAGAUCAUCGUGGAACAUGUGGGAGCCAACAUGGGUAUCCAGAUCCCGCUGUUGGUUAUUGACCGGAGAGGCGUCUCGGUCAUGUCUGCAUGUCUCCCGAACCCGUAGGGUCUACACACUUAAGGUUCGGUGACGCUAGGGUUGUAGAGAUAUGUGUAUGCGGAAACCCGAAAGUUGUUCGGAGUUCCGGAUGAGAUCCCGGACGUCACGAGAGGUUCCGGAAUGGUCCGGAGGUGAAGAAUUAUAUAUAGGAAGUCAAGUUUCGGCCAUCGGGAAAGUUUCGGGGGUUACCGGUAUUGUACCGGGACCACCGGAAGGGUCCCGGGGGUCCACCGGGUGGGGCCACCUAUCCCGGAGGGCCCCGUGGGCUGAAAGUGGAAGGGAACCAUCCCUUAGUGGGCUGGGGCGCCCCCCUUGGGCCUCCCCCCAUGCGCCUAGGGUUGGGAACCCUAGGGUGGGGGGGUUUCCCCCUUGCCUUGGGGGGCAAGGCAACCCCUUCCCCCCUUUGGCCGCCGCCCCCCAUGAGAUCCCAUCUCUAGGGCCGGCGCCCCCCCAGGGGGCCUAUAUAAAGGGGGGAGGGAGGGCAGCAACCUACAGCCUUGGGCGCCUCCCUCCUCCCCUGCAACACCUCUCUCCGUCUCGCAGAAGCUCGGCGAAGCCCUGCCGAGACCCGCUACAUCCACCACCACGCCGUCAUGCUGCUGGAUCUCCAUCAACCUCUCCUUCCCCCUUGCUGGAUCAAGAAGGAGGAGACGUCGCUGCACCGUACGUGUGUUGAACGCGGAGGUGCCGUCCGUUCGGCACUCGGUCAUCGGUGAUUUGGAUCACGGCGAGUACGACUCCGUCAUCCACGUUCAUUGGAAUGCUUCCGCUCGCGAUCUACAAGGGUAUGUAGAUGCACUCCUUUCCCCUCGUUGCUAGUACACUCCAUAGAUGCAUCUUGGUGAGCGUAGGAAAAUUUUAAAUUAUGCUACGAUUCCCAACACGUAUAGGCCAGUGGCCAGACUCAGAUCAAAUACCAAGAUCUCGUUAAGCGUGUUAAUUGAUGUAACCGCAGACGCCGACCAGGGCCAGGCCCACCUCUCUCCUAGGUGGUCUCAACCUGCCCUAUCGCUCUGCCACAAAGUAACAGUCGGGGCCGUCGGGAACCCAGGCCCACCACUACCUGGAUGGAACCACCUGCCCCUUCAGCCCCCACAUCAAAAUCACUUGCGGGUACUCUACGAGCCGACCGGACUUUAGUCACCACCUGUAUAGUAUGUAUGUAUUUAUAUACUCGUGGAUCACCUCCCGAGUGAUCACAGCCCGAUAGUAUAGCAUGGCAGACGGACAAGGAUGUAGGGCCACUCAUGAAGUACUAGCAACCUAUACUAAGCAUGUAGGAUUGCAGGUAAAGGUAUCAACAAUUGUAGCAACAAUGACAGGCUAUGCAGCAGAAUGGGAUUAACCGAAAGCAGUAACAUGCUACACUACUCUAAUGCAAGCAGUAGCGAGAAUGAAUAGGCGAUAUCGGGUGAUCAAGGGGGGGGGGAGCUUGCCUGGAAGCUCAACCAAGAAAGAGGGGUCGUCAACACCGUAGUCGUACUGGGUAGCAGCGGCGUCGGUCUCGGUGUCUAACGAGAGAAGAGGGGGAAGAAACAAUAAGUAUAAUACAAACAUAUGCAUGACGACGCAUGACAAGACAAUGAGCGGUGCUAGGUGUGCCCUAACACAGUGCUACACGAUACCGAGGAAGGGGGAACCCAUCUGGGAAAGUUUUCCCGGUUCCGGACAAAUGUCGAACAAGUGACCGGAGAGGGAAUGUUCCAGGUUCGGAUAGUUAGAGGUAUCCGGCGGUUAUGUGGGUAGUGUAUGGUGGUUCGACUACGGAGUACAAAGCAUUUUCAUCCGAGCUACGUAUUAUUUUAUAUUAAUUUUCAAAGUUUUAAUCAAUUUCUAAAUUAUUAUUAUUGAAUCAAUUCGAAAAUACCAUUAUUGACUUAGCAUGAUGUCAGCAUGACGUCAACAGUCAACAGAGGUGUUGACUGGGUCAAACUUACGUGUGGGUCCGCAUGUCAUUUACUGAGAUUAACUAAACAGGUUAAUUAGUUUAAUUAGUGAUUAGGUUAAUCUAAUCAAGAUUAAUUAAUUAAUUAAUAAUUUUUUACUUAUUAUUAUUAAAAAAAAUCUUUUUCUUUACGUUUUCGUUCUGGGUGCAUGGGGCCCAAAUGGCAGGGGCCCAUCUGGCCUAACGGGCGCUGGGCGCUACAGGCGCCCGACCAGGCGAGGGCCGAGCAGCGCAGACGGGCGCCGGGCGAUGACCGGGGCUGCGGCGACGCCGGCCGGGAACGGCUCCGGUGAGGCCGACCGAGUGGCGGACUACAGUACAGGACGGCGGGGGUCGCGCGAGGGGGCGGGCUGCAGGCUGCGGCGGCCUGGGCGUGGGCGCACCAGCAGAGCAGUGGUAAUGGGGCACACGGUCAGAGCGGCAGGGGCGCAUGUGAAGCAGCAGCGCAGCCGCGGCAGGCGAGUAGCGACGGGGGAAGCAUCAGGCGAGUGAGGCCGCGUCAGGGGCGCGCGCGCGUGAGCUGCGGUCGGCGCAGACGAGCAAGUGCGCGCGCGGGGCGGCUCGAGCGGCAGUAGCAGGUGCGGCAUCAGCAACAGCAGCGCAACUAGCAGCGGCCUCAGGUAGUUGCAGCGCGAGAAGUAGGGGCUCGGGGCGAUGGCCGGUGCGUGGACCGCGGUGAGUGCGUCGUGGGGGAGCAGGGUGCGGCCGGCACGGGUGGGCUGGUCGGGGACGUGCACGGAUGGGGGUGGGCGCAGCACGGGGUGGCUAUGCGGGGCGGGCGGCGCGAGUGCGGUGGUUGCGAGGGCGAGGCAAUGGAGAGGGGAAGAGGAGGCCGGGGGCCUUACCGUCCGAUGCAGGGGGAAUGGCAGCGGGUGUCGAGGAGGAGGACGGGGAUGAGGCGAGCGACGACGGAGAGGACGGCGUGCAGUCCGGCGGGGAGGAGGACGAGGAGGCGGCGCCGACGGUGGGGCGGUCCGACAAGGAAGCGGCGCCGGCGAGGUAGAAGUGGCGCAACGGUGGUCGACGGGGUCGCCUACGGGGGAAAGCGAGGGAGACGCGGGGGANNNNNNNNNNNNNNNNNNNNNNNNNNNNNNNNNNNNNNNNNNNNNNNNNNNNNNNNNNNNNNNNNNNNNNNNNNNNNNNNNNNNNNNNNNNNNNNNNNNNNNNNNNNNNNNNNNNNNNNNNNNNNNNNNNNNNNNNNNNNNNNNNNNNNNNNNNNNNNNNNNNNNNNNNNNNNNNNNNNNNNNNNNNNNNNNNNNNNNNNNNNNNGGGUUAGUAGGCGCAGCUGGGCAGGCCUGGUUGGCCCAAUGGCCAGCUGGGCCUAGGCCUGGUGGGGGGUGGGUCCUCCUUUUUCUUAUUUUCUUUUCUAUUUUAUUUCUAGUUUCUUUUACUUUUAGUUUUAGAAAAAUUACCACUAGUACCUAAAUUUGUAUCUAUAAACAAACUACUGCCAGACUAAUUCUUAGCCCAUAAUAAAUUAGUUUUAAUAUUUCAUAAACUUCCAUAGGCAUCUGUUUAAUUGUUUUCACUGCUAUUUUAAUUAUUUUAGUGCAUUUGAAUUCUUUACGAAAGUUUGGUUUCUUUACUAUAAUUACUUACGCAUUAUUUGGCACAACCCAAACAUUUUAGUUUUAACGUUUGAAAACUUUUAUUGUUUGACUUUAAUUCAAAUUUAGAUUUGAACCGGUUUUGAACUAACGCGAGAUUAACAACAGUAACGAAGGUGACGUGGCAUUAUUAGUAGAGGUUUACUGUAGCUUAAUUAUCCGGGCGUCACAGGAGCAUUUAAGGGGUGGGAGCAGCCAAAUCCGACACCAGCGAUCUCUACGCAUGGCGUCGCCGCAUCCCUCCACUUAAUUCCUCCCCUGUCCCAUCAUCGCCCUAAAUUCCAUAUCGCCAUUGCAGAACAAAUGAUUCGUUCCUUCGAGGCCGGUGAGCGGUAGAGUAGGAAGGAACGCUAAACUGACAAUUCAAGGGAUAGUCCAUUAUUCAGUUGUGAAGAAGUCUAAUCCGGUCGUUCUAGGUGAAAGUUCGAUUUAUCAAUCUCCACUGAAAAUUCUAAUAUAUCAAAAUAUUGUUUGGAACAGAUGACAAACUAAUGUGGCUCGAGAUCCGGUGGGGGAUUGUUGAAUUAUAGAUGGGCUUUUGGGCCCAUAUGAACAAUGAUUUUUGGUUAAUCUUUAGGACCAUGUAGGUGUAUGGUAGGUGUGUGAAGUUUAGUACCACAUUGCUAGUGGAGGAGAGUUGAGACCCAUUUUAUAAGGAUGCUCUACCACUUGUCGUCGGGAGCUUGGAAAGAGAAGUGAUACACAUGCGCUCCUCCUCCCCCGUCGCCCGCCUCGUCACGGCGCGCGCUCUCCGCGUGUUGCUUCCGGCGAUUCCAUCUCGACGACCGCUUCCCCAUCCACCUCUACUUCCGCAUCCGCGUUGGCUUGACCAACUGGAGGGUAUUGAUUCGUUCAUCGUCUAUUUGUUCGUUCAUGUGCUUACCGUAUCUGCUAUGUUCAUACAUGUUUCGGUUCAAUUUACUUUACGUGCUCACAUGCUUCUAUAAUCGCGGCCGAGCAACCGCGGGCAUGCGCACAAUUCUUGCAGUUUUGGCUGGGCCUUAGUUUGGACGACGUCGAAGCUCAGUCUGGUGCCUCGCCUAUCAGGACAUGGCCGCGGUGAUGCUCAUCCGUUAACGGCACAUUCCAGCUCGCACGUCCAAGUUUGUAGAAAAGCCCCGAGUGUUUUGCUGGUUCGCCGCCUGGUUGGUUUCCUGGAUAGUACUAAAACCGUCGUCGCAGUUGGGACCUGAACGGAAGAGCAACAAAUCCAGCGCUCGGAUGUCACCACAAAAUUCCUAUGCGUAAGCAACCGGUCGCACAAGGUGUAAUUUACUUUUUGCGCCUGGUUAGUAAUAGCGGAUACAAGGUUUAUUUUUUUAAACAAAAGCAAAAGCUUUGCCAUUUGCAUUAAUUAAGAAUAAGAAGAAGAUAGUUGCCCAGUUACUUAUGAAAAACUGGAUGAAAACCGAUACAAACAUGCCCUAGCCUGCACGAAAACACGACGCAACUAGAGCCAUGUCCACUCUUUCCAACAUGGCAAACACAUCCGAAGAUGCUCAACACCAAGGCACAAUGUAAUCCUCGACAUGUUUAUCCCAAGAUGUAACCGACAAAGGUGUAACCCUAGGUACCCCCGAUGUCUAUAUAAGCCAAGGGGUUUAGAUCAUAGAGGUAGAUUCAUUCACAUACGAUCUCGAGCUAGAUCAACUCUGUACCCCAACCACAAUCAAUACAAUACAGGUAGGACAUGGGGUUUUACCUAUUUGAGAAGGCAUGAGCCUGAAUAAACACUGUGUCCCUUCUUCGUCUAUUACCAUCAUGCCAAGAUCACCAACUCAGGACCCCCCUACCCGAGAUCUGCUGGAUUCGACUCUGUCACAACCCAAUUUCACCCUCGAAUCACACCCUUAUUUUAUCUUUUCGAGUAGUACACACCCUUUAUUUAUGGGAGUGACUAGACUCAUCUAGAUGAGUUAUAGUUUGGUAUCAUUCACCUUACCUCAGCUGACGUCACCCGUUGUGUUGUCUCAUCCCUAUUUCACUUGUUUCUCGAACCACGUAACCCCCUCAUUGGCCCACUAAAGCUUUGUUCCGUGUUGUAAAAUUAUGCAUGGGCUUUGACGGGACCUACUCUUUGCCAUGACAUAGGAGGAUUUCCGACUGGGCCGGCCCAUGAAGCUAGCCUAGGGCUCCAAAAAAAUUCACCCUGAGGGGGCGAACACCCAACCUCCCUCUUAACCAUUCUUAAUUUCGAAGCAGCGCAAAACCUUAUGAACCAAUACCAACACAGAAUUGAAAGUUUUUGAAAAUUUGAACACAAAACAAUUUUUUGAAAGAAAAGAACAUGAAUGCUUUAUGAAACACAAACACUUUUCAAUUUUUUUGUUUUUUUAACUGACAGUUUGGAAAACAAUUUUUUUUGAAAAUCACGAACAAUUUCUGAAACGAGAAUAUUUUUGAAAAUCCCCCAAAAAAUAUGAGAACAUGAUUUUUUUUUUCCAAAAAGGGAAUCAUUUUUUAGAUUCCAAAACAAAAUUUGAAAUGCGAAUAAUUUUUGGAACAGGAACAUUUUUUGAAAAUUCCCGAACAAAAUUUUGAAACAUGAGCCUUUUUUAGAAAUUUGCGAACAAGCUUUGAAAUGUGAGCAUUUUUUAAACACCCAAAUAAAAUUUGAAAACAAAAACAAUUUUGGAAACUCCUGAACAAGUUUUGAAAACACAAACAUUUUUUUAAUUUGUAAACAAUUUUGAAGUGGAAACUUUUCGAAAUCCAAACAAUUUUUGAAGUAGGAGCAUUUUUUAAAACACCCGAACAAAAUUUGAGAGCAUGAUUUUUUUAAUUAUGAAACUAGAAUAUCUUUUGAAACUCCCAAAUGAAAAACACAAAUAUUUUUUGAAAUUUGCAAAUAAUUUUUGAAAUGGAUUUUUUUUAAAUCUUGAACAAAUUUUGAUAAGUUGUGAAAAUUCUGAACAAAAACAUGAUGAAAAGAAAAGGAACAAAAAAGAAAAAGAAAAAGAAAAACCAAAUACAAAAAGGAAUAAAUAGCACGGGGAGCGUAGAUGGGGGCUGGUUCCUCCCGGAGCAGGAAGCUUACCUCCGUUGGUGGCGACUAGUAUGGAGGCUCUCCGGCGUGGCUCUCUGUCGAGACAAGUUUGCCUAAGUGAUAUGUAGUUAAUAAAGAGAGAGGUGUUUAGAGUAACAUAACGCAAGCUAAAAUAAAAUGAGUCUACAAUCUAAUAAGUGCAAUCAUCUAUUAUACUACUUCUAUAUUACUUUACAUCAUAAAGGUAGUAUUCUCUUCGGUCCUUUUUACUUCACGUAUUAGAUUUGUGUCAAGUCAAACAUUGCAAAGUUUGACCAACUUUACAGUAUAAAAAUAUCAAUAUCUAUAUUUCAUAACGAAUCUAACAAUGUUGAUUUGGCAUUGUGAUUGUUGAUAUUUUUUUCUAUAUGUUGAUUAAAAUAGAGAUAUUUUGACUUUGGACCAAACUUAUAUGUAAAUGACACUAGUCUAAUUUAGUCUCCACUAUGGUUAGCCUAACCGAACAAAUAGCGACACAAGCCUGCGGACAACAACACGAAUCUCCACAGGGUCCAAUCGGACGGUAAUGGGCGUGAGACCAUACUAAAACUCAGCUAGCACAUCUGCUUAUUUAUCUACUACCUUCGUUCCUAAAUAUUUAUUUUUCUAGAGAUUUCAAUAAAUGACUACAUAUACGAAGCAAAAUGAGUGAAUCUACAUUUUAAAAUAUAUUUAUAUACAUCCGUAUAUGAUAGUUUAUUUGAAAUAUUUAAAAAAAACAGAUAUUUAAAAACGGAAGGAGUAUUUUAUUACGUUUUGGAACACUGAUAGAUUCACGGAGGGGCCAAAUCAUGCGAAUUCCCGGUACCAACAAACAAACUUGUACGACAUCGAUAUGCUUAAAAAAAACUUGUACUACAUCGAUCGCGAAUUUCCCGCGAAAAAGAGAUAAAGGAAAAAUCGAUCGCAGUCUCUACGCAUAUCUAAAUGUAUAAGAGCAUCUCUAGCGGACCCCGCAAAAUCCUGACCCGCAUAAGUCUUUUGCAGUUCGCGAAAAAGGGUAUAUGCAGGCCGGCGCGGGCGUGGACAGACUCAGACCCCGUAUAAUCAACCCAUAAAAAAGAAUAUUCUCCAAAUAUACCGAACAGAUAGAGCUAGCUCUUUUUUUUGUCAUCCUCUUCCUCACGUCAAUCCCGCGAACAGGCGGACGAGGGAAAAUAAGAGGCGAGCGCGGCGCGGGCGGAGGCCAAGGCGGCCGGGGCGAGCGCGGCGCUCGCGGAGGCCAGGGCUGCCGGGGCGGCGACGGGAUCCAACGGCCGGCACAUCGAGCUAGCUAGCUAGCUCUUCGCUAGCUCCAUUCGAAUGGAUUGAGCUGCUAGCUAGCUAGCUCCGUUCGAAUGGAUUGAGCUAGCUAGCUAGCUCCGUUCGAGAGCCGCGGAGCCACGGGCGAGCGCGGCGGCCGGGACGGCCGGCCGUCCGGCUAUCGGACGGCCGGCGAGUGAGCGCGGUGGCCGGGGCAGACGGGCGCGGCGGCCGGGCGAGCUUCAUGGCGUUGGCGGGGGCAAAGAUUCCUCAACCGUCAAUGUUGACCGGUCCGGUAUGCAAGGCCCUGAUAAAUUUGCCCUCAAAACUGUAUAUUUAUGAAGGUUUCGUGUUCGUGUUUACAGGGCCCCUAAAAAAUUUUAAGGGUCGGACGAUUUUGCGGGGUCUGUUCGGGCUUUUUUUUACUGAAACUGUAAAAAACAGUUAUUUUACGGGUUUGACCAUUUACAUUUAUACGGGUUGCUAGAGAUGCUCUAAGGUCGCCGUAAGAAAUGCUGCCGACCAUAUUAAGAUAUGCACCCAUAUGACAUCAACCGCUCUGUUAGUUGUCUCUCUUCCUCCGAUGGUUGGCUCGUUGCUUGCUUCGUCUGUACGCAGCGGAAUUCUUGCGCCAAGACUCACGAGGCAUCCCCGCAAAGACGUCGGAAUUCUCGAGAAAUAGCGUGACCAUCGGCCAGUGAAUUGCUAGUGAACAAGUCGGCAGGUGGUCAGAGGCACGGGAAGCCAUGGCCGUGGAUUGCUUCCACCGCGCGUAUGCGCUGGCCAUCGUCAACGCCGUCUGCAUCGGCGGCACGGCCAUGAUCCUCUACGCGCUCGUCAACCUGGCGCGGAAGCCCGACCACAGCAGGGGCUCCAUCAUCGUGCUCACGGUCUUCCUCCUCUUCUGGGUCGGCGUCGGCGCCAGCGUGUACACGGCCUUCUGCGGGGUCCUCUUCCCGUGGUCGGCGCUGCGCCGGUGCCUGGCCUCCACCAGCGGAGCGCUGAUGUACUACUUCCGCCGCACGGGCUGGCUUCACUGCCUGCCGGGCCGGUCCAGGCUACGGCGCCGAAGCGGCAGCAGCGCUCUGCCCCAGUUUCUGGACCAAAUACAGCAGAGUCACAUGCCCGCGCUGGCCAGGGAGCCGCCGGCGCAUGGCGGCGCGAGGGUGGCGACGGCGUAUGACGUCCUGGCGUACGAGCAACCGGAGGGGGGCGGCGCGUCGGAGUGUGCGGUCUGCCUCGGGGAGGUGGAGAAGGGGGACACGAUGAAGCGGCUGCCGGCGUGCCUGCACAUGUUCCACCAGCAGUGCAUCGACCCGUGGCUGCACGAGCACUCCACCUGCCCGGUCUGCCGGUGCAUCGUCUUCGCGCCGUUGCCGGCCCAAAUGGUAUGAGCGACACCGACGAUGAAAGACAGCUGAGCGCACAACUCAAACCCUUGUCCAGGUCUCCCGGAAGCCGGAACGGCGAUGGCGGCGCAUCUUGCGUCGUGGCUUUUCCUGCAGAAGGCAUCAUCUUGGAGUCGUCUUCGGUUGCGGAUUCCACCAGCUCUUGCCGUGGCGAUGCUGAGACGGUGAAUCUGGAUCUGAUUGGUGCGGCCUCUUGUUCGGCUCCAAGCGGAGAUGCUUUGCUAUUGGGUUUUGGUAGUAUGUGUUUUCCUGCGUGUUCAUGGGAUUCUCGUGCCCCGCCCUAUGUUUGUGGAGAUAUAUGGGUUUCAACUUUCAAAGGAAGUGUCUAUUUGACGUUUGACUGAAAAUCAAUUGAACAUCAGUCAAGUUUUUCAACCAAUAAUAGAACGGUACUUGUAUAUUUGUGUGUUCCUUUUUUGUGUAUCUAUGUAUGUCAGCGCUAGAAGGUCAAUCCUAAUCGGGUUGGACCCGGUUUCAAACAUAUGUGAGCUACAGGUAUCGCAUUACCACAGCCGAAAAAAAGCCUACUGAUCCAUCAACAUACCCUCUGUAGGUCUGCCAUCAACGUACAGUCCACUUCUUUUUUGGUAAAGCUUCGUAAACCCCGCGUCUCUCGCUUCUUUGCUGUACUUAUCAACGUACAGUCCACUUACAAUCACUCGGGAGAAAAAUACAGUGAUAAUUAGACUGCCAUUCUGGUAACUUGCAGUCUACUCAUAGUGAUAUCUUAAGUGUUAAAGUCUAGAUACACAAAACUUACAGUCAAUUAGCACUGGAACUUAUAAAAUUACAGUGUACUGAACCCAUUUGCAUUCAUGACAAGCAGGUGAAAAACCUUGAAAUUACAGUAAGAAAACCUUGCAGGUAUAGUACCUAGUGUCUUCUACAGAUUAUAGAGACACAACUGAACCAACAUUGCGAUGCAGAGGCCGGGGGCAAUCCUCCUUUUCGAAAAGAAAAAAACAGCUGAACCAACAUACACACUUGACACUUCCUAUCAUACAGAUGACUACACACUGAACCAACAUAGACACUGCCCUAUCCAUAGUGUGAAAAAAGCAGUUCAUCAUCUAUCUAAUGCAAACAAUCCUUCUUCUCCAUCAUUGUUAAUUCACAGUCUGAAAAAAAAGGAUCAAACACGACAUUAGACCAAUCAUUAAGAUAUACAGCACAAAGGGACGCCAUUAACACUGAACCAAAAAGCUGAAAAUACAUAGUACAAGAGACAGCGAGUGACAUAGACGAGUACAGUAAAUUAGGCAACCUUUAGCCAAAAGUACAACUAAAAAAGACUGGAAGUCAUGAACCUCUUUACUGUAAAUUUGAAGUAUAAAAAACAGAAGUGCUUACAUCUUCAAAAAAAAUCAGUAACAAGAAGUCUAGAACUUAUCGACCCUGUUGAACUCACUGAAAAACUUAUCAUUAGCAUACUUUGUCCUUAAGUUGGGAAUGUCAGCGCUUGAAAAAUGGUCAACAACUUGAGUCCUUGCAGUCCACACUUCCAUAAACUCGAAUGUAAAGACACCACAAUUGUGUGCCUGGUUUCACAUGAAUAAAGGAAGAAAAAAAAAGAUACCAACAAAAUCAAGAACAGAAUAUAAGAGAAAAUCAGGCCAGCUAUACUAAAAAACAAGUUACCUAUUGGUCUGAUUGGAACAGCUAUAGGUCGAUAACAUCAUUUUUUUUUCCAAACUGUUUUGUUUCCUCAACAUGGGAGUAAUAAAAGUGUCCCAGAAUCCUAUAAAGUUUGUAAUACGCUCGAAUAAAGGAAAAUACAAGAGAUAAAUCUUAAAAGAUAACAACACAGUGCCUUCAAAAGGGAAACAAAUUGAUUAAAAUGUACUAGCAUAUCGCCAAUCUGCAAGUGAAAUUCAGAAUGCUCAUUAAAAGCUGGAUCAAGGAAAGUAAAGGCUCUUCCCUUCAAACAAACAAAGAAAGAAAACCAAUGCUUUCGAACGGUUACAGAGAAGUACAGCUGGAACAAGGAAGAAUAAUAUGAAGAAAAAUGUAUAUAGAGAAAAUGAGAAAUAAAAAAGAAAUGGCAAAGACAAACACCAAAAAAGAAGGCAGAAAUUAAAUUACUAUCAUGGAGGAAAUGAAAAAUAAAAAGAAAGAGCAAAGACAAACACCAACAAGGAACCAUGGAGUUAGAAAUCCUUCAAUUCCAAUUGGGGCAAAGAUAAACGCCAAAGCUGCAACAACUAAUUGGGGGAGAGCCAUGGAAGAUCAUACAAGAGACGAUCCACAGGCCGGAAAUCCUUCAAUACCAAUGUCUUUGCUCAUGCCUAGUGAUUUUCUAUGAGAUCUAGAACCGGUAAAAUCACAAGAAUGAAAAGCAGAGAUCACAAAUUCUUUUCAUUUGACAGAGUGUAUUGCACAGAGCACUCUAGUCAAAAUCAAAGAAACUGGUCAGUUUUGUUUCAAAAGCACCAGGGCAAAAGAAACUAAAAUUUACAGUAGCAAAAAAGUACUGAAAUUACUAUUAUCAAGUUGCAACACUAACCAAAGGUAGAUUCAGUAUAUAUUAACAGCGUGAAUAGAUAGAACACUACCCAACAAAGACACUGUGAUUUGCAUUGACUGUAAAUACAGUAAAUAUUCUAGUAAAAAUGGCACUGUGAUUACCCAUGGAAAUUACACUGUAACAACAUUGUAAAUAUAGAGAAAUUGCACUGUAAUUACAGUAAAUAGCAGUGUGAUUUACAGUGUAAUUACCCUAAAAAUUACGCUGUAAUUACACUGCAAUUACAAGUAUACUGUAAGAGCACUAUAAUUACAAUACGAUUACUCUGUAAUUUCAGAGGAAAUGACACUGUAAUUAAAAUGAAAUUACAAUCUUAAAGCUGCUGUAAACUUAGGCCCUGUUCGGAGUCACUCCAACUCCUAAAAAUACGAGGAGCUGGAGCAUCUCUUUCCCAGCUCCGUGCCUUUUGCCUCCAGCUCCGGGAGCGGAGUGGUGGAGUGGCGGGUCUCCGAACAGGGCCUUAGAUGCAACACUACGGAAAACAUAGAAAAAAUGUUAUAAAAUGGAUACAAAUACUACCAAACAAAGACAAACCACAAAGAUAAAGAUGCAACACUACGGUUCUAGAAUGCUUGCAGACCCAACAUAGGCAAACUUCAUUGUGAUCUAGUGUAAUUAACCUGAAAAUAGCACUAUAAUAACCUGAAAUAACAUUGUAAUUGCAGUGCCUGUAAACUAAAAAUCAUAGAAGUUACAGCAAAAAUUGCACAAUGGUUACCUCUGGAACUUACACUGAAAUUACAAUGUCACUACUAUGUGAUUUCAGACGAAAUUACACUGUAAUUAAAAUGAAAUUACAGUUAUGGUUACCUCUGGAACUUACACUGAAAUUACAAUGUCACUACUCUAUGAUUUCAGAGGAAGUUACACUGUAAUUAAAAUGAAAUCAGAGUUAUGAAGUUGUGGUAACUUAGAUGCAACUACUACCUAAAAACGAACACCCCUGGAUCUAACAACAAAAAACGUCAGCGGAAUCAAACGCCCAGGUUAGCAGAAAGAAAAUCAACAGGGGAAUCGGAUCCACCGCUACAUCCAUCCACCUAUCAAUGUAAUCGCAAAAAAAUCGCCAAAAUCCACCUCUAAGACUACACAUACACCUACAUCUACAUCAAACACAAGGGGAAUCGAAUCAAACCACAAGAUCUAGAAGAAAUUCAAUGGGGCAAGGGAGAAGACCAGGAUAUCCAACUGAAACCACACGACACUGGAGCGGAAAUCAAUCUGAAGAAGAGGAGGAGGAGAAGAUGGGAAUCACCAUGGACGACGAGGAAAUCGCCAAGAAUCGCCUCCCUCUCUCAGCUUUAACUCUCGCCAAGAAAUGAGAAAGGACAAACAAAAAAAGAUAGAGAACAAAAGGG
This 87214-nucleotide long non-coding RNA is filed under the name Triticum aestivum (bread wheat). RNAcentral's name for it is "long non-coding RNA (TAES_LNC019595)". The stretch from base 56575 to 56661 matches the Rfam family "MIR1120/MIR1122 microRNA precursor family". Lineage: Eukaryota; Viridiplantae; Streptophyta; Magnoliopsida; Poales; Poaceae. The record is from RNAcentral.